GAGCCGUAGUACUCACUAGUCAUUGAGAGGUCAUCAUGAUGUUGCGGGGAGCCAUAGUACUCACUAGACAGCAAGAGAUUGUAAUGAUGGGUGUUCUCCGAUCAAUGUAUGAUGCGGAAGAGUUUUGGGCUUGAGUAGCCGUAGUAUUGAGUUUUGGAGUCUGGUGGUUGAACCAGGGGGCGAGACUGGGGUCUCCGUCUCUGUCGGGAGCUUCGACGAGAUGCGCAAGGGAUACGCGCAUCAGGCACCAGAGGUCAGAGUUGAGUCGAUCCUCGGUUGGAUUGUAUUUUUUCGCAUAAGUAAAAGAGAAUUUCGUGACCUGCGUGUCACUAGGCCGGGAUAGUGGUCACGGGGAGGAAGUUAGUGAGAUAUUUUGGAUCAUCAUAUGGGUGACCUUUGGAGGCUCAGCUGUGGAGUCAAAAGCUGAACUGGAGCUCAGUAUCGAAGAGGGAUAUGAGAAAGGAACUAGAGCGUGUCAUGGUGAUGUCUGAGGACACUCUAGAGCGAGCAUACAAUUCUAACGCUCGAGGACAUGCUUCGGGUAUGUGUAUUAGAUUUCGGAGGGAGUUGUGACACGUAUUUACCAUUGGUUGAGUUUUUCCAUAUCAACAGCCAUUAUUCGAGCAUCGAUAUGCCACCUUUUGAGCUGUUAUAUGGGAGGAGGUGUGGGACUCCCAUUUGUUGGGAAGAGGUAGGGAAACAUGUGAUGGGUAGUACAGAGAUACUGCUUCAACGACAGAGCAGAUACAGUAGGUCAGACAGAGGUUGUUGACCACUCAGAGUCGCCAGAGGAGUUAUGCGGAUAGGCAUCGGUCCGAACUUGAGUUUCGGGUCGGAGAUUUUGUGCUCCUGAAGGUAUCUCCUUGGAAAGGUGUGAUCUGGUUCAGGAAGAGACGCAAACUAGGGCCCCGGUAUAUUGGUCCGUUUAAAGUGAUCGCGAGGGUGGGCAGGUAGCAUAUCGUUUGGAGCUGCCUGCAGAGUUGCGCCAGAUUCACGACACCUUCCAUGUGUCCCAGCUGAGAAAGUGUGUAGUCGACGAGUCGGCAGUGGUGCCACUGGAGAAAAUUCAGGUGGAUGUGAGCCUGAAUUAUACCGAAAGGCCAAUCGUGAUUGUGGAUCAAAGGAUCAAGGUUCUGAGGAACAAGGAGGUGCUCCUGGUUCUGGUUCAGUGGUCACAUCGGAGGGGGUCUGAGUUGACUUGGGAGACAAAGUCAGAAAUGUGGGAGCAAAAUCCGGAGUUGUUUUCAGUAUGAGACUUCGAGGGCGAAGUCUGGUUCUAGUGGGGGAGAAUUGUAACAUCCCAAGGUUCAGGUGCAGCUAUUCAACCCCCCUUCUUUUCUUUUGUGGUCAAGUUUAGCCCUUUAUUGGAAAAUGUGGCAAAUGGGUACGCCGGGUUUACUCGGGAGUACGCUGGGCGUACUCAUGCGCUUAAUUUGAACAAGGAGUCACCAAGGUACGCGGGGCGUACCCAGAGUUACGCCGGGCGUACCCGUCCCAUGUGCAAAACCCUAAUCUGGCUUGUGCACUAUUUAAAGGGUGCUAAGGCUCAUUUCUCAGCCUCCAUAUCAGUGAGUGAAACCCUAAGGGAGAGCCUCCCAUCAUUCUUGGUGUGUGUGAGUGUUGUUGGAGCUAGUUGUGCAUUGGUGGCUUAGUGAAGAAGAGGGAAAGGAGCUUUUGGAGGCUAAAGCUUGAAGUGCAAGCUUGGAUAUGAGAUCUACAGAGAAAUGGGCUACACUUAGAGGUAUAAAGUUCAAAACUUUCCUAUCCUUUUUGGUUUAUUGUUGCAUGGGUAAUUCUAUGGCUAAAAACCCCAAAGGUGGAGACUUUAUGAGUGUAAGGUGCUCCAUGGUCCGAGAUCUGUCCCUUUUCAGUGGUAUUAGUGGUUUACAUCCAUAAAGUUUCCAUCUUGGUUGUUGGUAUGAGGUCAUGCUUGAGUAAUAAGCCUUCUAGAGUUAGAGAAUGGAAUACUAUGGGAGUUGGUGACUUAUUCAGCCAUGCAAAGGCUUAAAGUCAUCAACUUUAUGGAUUAAGAGGCUUAGAAGUGGUCAGAUCUAGAAGUUGGACGUAGUUCUUAACUAUUUAAGACCUCAAGAGCUAAAGGGAUGAAGCAGGGGAGUAUGCUGGGCGUAAUCCCAGUACGCGCCGCGUACUGGGUGGUAUUCCCCGAUUCUGAGAGGCAGCCGGCUACGCUCAGCGUACAUAUCUGGUACGCGCAGCGUAACCCGGAAAAUUGACUUUUGGUUGACUUUUAGGGUAUGGUCUAUAGUGGGGCCUUUUGAGUUAUGAGAGGGGUAAAAUGGUCUUUUACCCUUCUGAGGGUGUCAUAAGAGGACAUAGUCUAGCCUUUGAGAAUUAUAUUAAAUAAGGUACUUAUUUCAUGUGAUUAGGCGGAGGCUAGACCUGAGUUUUACCGAGUCAGAGAUUUACCGAGCUACCGGAGGUGAGUCUUCUCACUAUACUUUACCUAGAGUGGUAACAGAGUUAUGUGGUAGAGAUAUUUUAUGCUAUCUAUGUGAAGUGUGGCACUGUAUUAUUUCUAUGUGAUGUAUGCUGUGUGUAUAUCAGAGUUAGGACCGGAAGGUCCACAAAGCUAGGACCAGAGGGUCCGCAGAGUUAGGGCCCAAGGGCCCACAGAGUUAUAGCCUCGAGUGGCUAAUAUGUGCUAUAUGUGGUAUUUUUAGAAUUUCAUGUCAGUGUAUUUGUAUGCUAUUUAUGUGUUGAGAUUUAUUGUCAUAUGUGAUAUGCAUGAUUCAGAGUUAUCAGAGUUAGGGCCUUUGGGUCCAUAGAGUCAGGGCCAGAGGGCCCAUAGAGAGUUGGGACUGGAGGGUCCCACUGAGACACACUGACCAGAGGGUCAAUAAAGAUUAUAGCCCCGAGUGGCUAAUAGAGUGGUAUUUUGGGGAACUCACUAAGCUCCAUGCUUACAGUGUUUGUGUUAGGUGUUUCAGGUUUCUAAAGAUCACGGGACGGCACCGGCUCGAUUAUACACACCAGAGGAAGCAUUUUUUUUAGGAUCCUGGUUUAUUAAUUAAAUGAAGAAAAUAGUCAUGUAGUGUAACUUAAACAAAAGAACGGGAUUUUAUGAAAAGUGAUAAAGAGAUAAGCAAUUUUAUAUGAAAAUUUUGUUUGAAAAUUUCAGUGUUACAAGUUUUAGCGUUUAGGUGAGUCAUGAUAGUUGUCACGGCAGCUGAGACUGUAGCUCGAAAGGUAGUUGCACCAAUCUGAAGAGUUGGUGUUUGGUUGAUGGGUUGUUUACUUUUCUUUGACGACAUGAUUCUAUUACACGAUAAGAAAAUGUGUGCGUGAGAGAUUAUGGUUGAACCUAGAUGUAUUUCAAUCAUUCAUGAAAGGAGUAGAAGUAAGUUCUCGAGGGUUUGUCCUACAUCCCUAUGAUGUAGUCCUAGUAAAGGGUAGAAGUAAGUUCAUAGAAUGGUUAGAAGACGAUUGCUAUCCAACCUUCAACAAGAAUUGGAAUUGAUCCCUAAGUUAAAUUACCAUAGCCCAAUAACUUGACUAGAGUGAGUUUCAGACAACAUUCUAAAGACAGUAUGAUGAAAGUACUUGAACAAAGAUUGACACAGAAAUUAGCCGACUGUCGAUAUCCUUGAUAUUUAUGACGUAAUAAGUUUGGGAAAAAUUGAGCUUGUAUUAGGUCUUACAUCAUAUCCGGAGUAGAAAGUUUUGACAGCAUCGAGGCCUAACUAAAAGUACUUACCGUACUGGGGUAGUUACAUAGAAAAGUGCUACAUAGGGCAUACACAAAAAAGCGAUUCCUUAAAACAAGGAAGGAAAGUAAAGCAUCUCCUAUUGGUGACGGUCAUCCCUCUAGUGAACCCUUAGUUCAACCAGUUGGCGAUUCAUAUCAAACAUGUGUCUUUCAUACACCCUCUGGCGUACGCAGAGCUCUAUGACUUCGGCUCGUGUUUCAACUAGUGCUUGUAGCAGGGCCUCGUGGUCUUUCUCAGACCUCUCACGAGCCCUUUCAAGGUGAUUAGUGCGGAUGGUAUACAUUCUGCAUUGGCAUCAACCUUUGCGAUACGAUGGAGAGCCGUCCUGCCCUGGAUUUCGUUUCGGGCAACUCUAUGGAUCAGGAUUGGCAGAACUCUGUCUGCUGACCUCAUUCACUUAUGUUAUAGAAAAUUCGGUCUCUAUUGAAUGGCAUGUGCUGAUUCUGCUCUUCGCUCCAUGUCUCCAAGCAUUCUACCCAAGGAGGCGUCGGGCCAUGAAAAUUCGGACGAGGGUUAGGAUUUGGAAUGGGAGCUACUGGGGUAGGUUCUCAACCUCGGGCUCGGAGUUAGCAUCAUACGAAAAGCCUUCAUCAUGGUGAUCAUCCAACGGGAUUGGAUGAUCAUCUUCUGGGUCUUUUUCAAACCAUCCAUCAUUGCUUUCGUUUGGAAGGUACAGGUCGCUGUGGGGAUGGAGUCCAGCCAUGUUAUCUACGUGAGAAAUGGGGAUAAAGAAAUAAUUACUAGACGUACUAACUAGAUAACUAUAAGAUAAUCUUCAUCAGUUACUUCAAUACUUGUAAUGUGCAUACCGGUUAUAUGUAAUCAAAACAGCAUAGGCCUUCGAAUAGGUGACCUUAACUCCAAGUUCACAAGGAACAGGGGGUCAAACAAAAUUUCAUAGAUUCUAAGUCUAUGUCAUCCUUGUUACAUAUAACCUUAGUGUAUCUACUUAGAAACUAUUGACCUAUUAAUGAAGAUCUUUAGUUCUCAACUAAGUAAUUAUAGUAACACAGAAUACUCCUAAUGUCUUCAUUAUGGUAGUGUUGGUAAGUUUUUAGACUUGUUGCCAUAUCACAACCAAUUUUGGGCAUAUGCUAAUCACUCCUCGGACCAACAUAGUUGAUCAGGCUAUGCCACUCGUAGGACUGAGCAUACAUCCCUGAGCUUACUUGUGAUAUUCAACAAUCGUAAUACUUUUGUUUUUUUCAUUGUGACACUGAUUUUAGUAUGUAUGCAGGCAUAUAUACUUAGUUAAAUAUUUUAUUAUUUAAUAGUAUAAACUCUUGGUCAGAGUAUUUUUAAUCACACUGUAUUUAUAGUCUGUAUAUCUUUUAUGGGUUGAUAUCCUCAAUUCACUAUAAACAAUGCUCUGAUACCAAUAUGUCAUACCCCAAAACCAAGAAUGGCAAAAAUGUUCUGGGGCAGAGGACGUCAUGUAAAGUAUCACAACAGUGUAAAGUAGUAAACAAGCAACAACAUCAUCCAGUGCAUUAAUAGUAAGGUUUUAAUACAUGUGUGUUCUUUCAUAGAAUAAGACAUGAAAAUAAGUGAUCAAAAUAAAGGACGAGUCUUGACUGCUCACUCUUCUCAAAGCUGGUCAUCGUACGUAUCUACUGUUGACCUGAGAAUACAAGUUAUUUUGAAAGCGUAGAUCAGCAUUUAAGUUGGUGAAUUCAUAAGUAUUUUAGUGUCAUUGAUUAGUAAAACUGUAAAGAAAAGACUUGUAAAUGUUUGAAGAAUAAGUUUGUAUAAGUAUGAAAACCCUAGAAAAUCCCAUAUUUCCUACUAGUAUAAAAAGUAGUCUUUUACCAAGACCCGACUGUUUCAAAGGUUUGCUUCUCUGUAUGAAUGAAGGUUUUUCCCAUGUAUAACUAUUAUUAUCAAAUUAUAGUCUACCUCAUCAUUUAUGUGAAUGUGUCAGAAGAUAAAAGUAAUAGGAAAAUUAUAUAAUCAUUAAAAUCAUAUCCUUUUGUCUUAGGAUAAACACGGUGUCGUAACUCGCCGAACAGUACAACCGAGGACAUCCGUCGAUGUGCAUUUUCCCACUAUAGCUAACAGUCGGGUGUAGGAUGGUCAGUCUUGUAUUUUAUGUUCUCUUUGUAUAGUAUAUAGUAUAGUAUGUAGUAAUUCCCUUUGUAUAGUAUGUAGUAGUAUCUCAUCCUAUAGUAUGUAAUAGUACCUCUUCAAAUAGUAUGUAAUAGUAUCUCUUCAUAUAGUAUGUAAUAGUAUCUCUUCAUAUAGUAUGUAAUAGUAUCUCUUCAUAUAGUAUAUAAUAUACUUAUAUAGACUAAUGAAUAAACUGACUCUUGUGUGAUUCCUUGUACUAGGAAUAGUAAGUAGUAUCUCCUAACUAUACCUAUUAUAAUUACUAGUAAUGUAUGUAUAUAAUCGAAGGUAUGCCUUUGCUACUCAAAGGUACUGAAUUGACUGAUAGAACUUUUAUGUCUAUAUAUGUAUACAUAAUAUAUAACUAAUAUUAUGACGACAUUCAGACAAAUAACCGAUACCCUAAGGCCACAUCCAAACAAGGAAAAGGAAUUAAAGUGAGCUAGCAGUCCUAAGUCCUUUAAACAUUACUUAUAUAACUAUACAUAUAUAGGCAUGGAUUUGAAAAUAUAAAAGUUUAAAAGAAGUUUUGUAAAACAUUUGAAAAGUUUAAUAAUAAGAAUUGAUGACUUUAUGUCAAAUUAUAAAACGGUUUAAAAGCAGUUUGAUAUAAUCAGUUUAAAGUAUACGAAAUCUUUUGUCUGAAAUACAGUUUGAAAUACAUGAAAACCUUUGUUUGAAAUACAAUUGUAACAAAGUUUGAAAAGAAAGAUACAAUAUGUAAGAUAGUUUGAUAAAGAGUUUAACAUGUCACAACGUUUGAGAAAUUGUUUUGAAGUAGUUUACUUGGUAAAACAGCUAAAAGCGUAGUAAAUCCAUUUGUGUACUAGUUAUUAAUCACAUGUGAUUGAAGUAAUAACUAGUAUGAUUCAACUUAUAUUCCCCCCCCCCCCCCGCCCAUAAAAGCAUUUAAAAACAUUUAAAAGGUUAAUUAAGGGGUAUGAAUUCACCUGUAGUGAGUGGUUUAAAUGAACGGAUGGUAUAGGAUGCUAAGUGUCAAGGGAAGACUUGAGCACACGCACGGAUCCUAUUUAACAUAUAGUGACACAUAUAUGUAUCCAAUUAGUCAAUUAACAACUAAUUAAUCAAAUUAUGACACCCUAAAACAUGAAUAACACUUUGAUUCAAGUGCUAGGAGUACAUUAGGGUUACAUCUAAGGGGUGUAAGGCAUCUCAACGGAGUUUAUGGUCCAAAUGGUAACAACUCAUGAGUUUAUGGCCCAUGGUCAUUUCCCCAUGAGUUUACGGCUGUAAAAUCAUGGUAUUAAGUACCAUUUCGUGGUUUGAGGUCUUAUAAGUCAUAAAGAACUACCCUUACUUCAAGUCUAAGCCUUAGGAAGCAUUAGUGGAACAAUGACACUACUUUAUAGAGUUUACGGCCCAUGGAUCAUUUCUCUAUGAGUUAACGGCCGUAAACUCUAUGUAUUCUUGAUAUUUUUGAUGUUUAAGGUCCCAAACACUUCAAGGAAGUGAUCUAGACUAGUAUCCAAGGCUAAGGAAACGACUAGGGCUCACUUUGCACUUACUAACGGAUUUUACGGCCUUGGGAGAUUUCCUUGGCGGUAAACUCAUGUGUUCUUGAUGAUUUCAAGCCCCUAACUCAUUAUACUAACUUAUAAGCAUGAAAAGGAGGUAAAGACUUACAGUUUGAGGCUAGGAAAGGGAGAUUUCAGCCCAAAACACACAAGUGUUCUUGGUGUUCUUAAGGAUCUUGAAGAUCUAAUAAUAAAAGAUGGGAUUGUGGGUGGAUUCAACUGGAAAGGAUGAAAUCAACACAAGGAUGGAAGAGAUGGCUUACAUAUGUGAAGAUUUGAAGAGAACUUGAAGAUCACUGGGAGAGAAAUCGGAUUUCUCUAGCUAGAAGUGGUAGAAAUGAAGAAAAAUGACUAAAUCUAUAUAUAUACCAAGGGGUUUACAACCACCUUGAGUUUACGGCCGUAAACUCCAAGGUCUUGGUCGUAAACUCCUCUCUUGAGUGCUUAAGGCUUGUUUGACAGGUUCUAAGUUCAACUGACACACUUAUAUACUCCAUCCUUUGAUAUAUGAAAGAUCAGAAUGCUCAAACGGAUUCUAAACUUUGCUAAAAGUUAGCAGGAACAGUUUUGACUUCUAUUGAAGUGAAUGGUUGUACAUAAUAGAAAUUUCGGGUUGUCACAAUUGUCUAGAAUAAGAAUAGAUGUGAAAGACUAUGGGGCCAGAAGGCCAUUAUGAACAAGUUUUAGUAGAGUAUCCCUUGAGAGGGAAAUCGAGUUAGCUCUGAGGGAUUGUUGGCGAGAUGCCACUUGGAGUCGCAAGACUUAGGGAUGAUUAGGGAUGGUGCGUUAUGGAAGAAUAUUGUCUGGGCUGGGCGACUGGACGAUAGUGGAGAUGUACCUUUCUGUGACCUGAGUGGUGCUAAUUCCGUUUCCCGUGGGAGACUCAAGAGGUGUUGAGAUUCCGGUUUCUGAGUUUGGGGUAAGCCCUGAGGGAUUGUACUGAUGGUGAUCUUCAAUCAGAGUAUAUGGCAGUAGGACUGCCAUGAGGUAAAGAUAUAGCUUGAUCAGGUCGUCAGUGGGGACGGAGAUAGUCAAGGACCAGGAUACACCCUAUUUGAGUAUAGUAGGGCAUGUGUUAGCUGCAGCGUCAGACGAUCAAGAGGAGCGUAUCAGGGCGGUGGCUCUUAUUGGUUUUGAUGGGUAUCGAGAGCGGUAAUGUGGGUUCUGCUCUUUUCAUAAGUGAUGUGAUGGAGCGUUGGUUGAGGAGUCGAGGAUGAUGAGAAUGAUAGUUCAUUAUUUCCAGACUAAGAGUCAGGGUUAAUACUGGAUAGUUGGGAGGUUCAGUGAUGUAGUGGUGUGAGAUUCUGAAUGACUAGAGGCAGUCAUGUUGGGAAGUUUUGAGGAUUUCAUCUGAGAUUCGGGGUAUUGGGAGUUGCUUGAUCUCUGUCUGGGAGAUCAUCGAGCGCUGCGUAGCACCUUCCAAGAGUAGAUGCGAUGUUACUAGUGGAAACAGUCUGUGGGAUAGAUUGUUGGUGCGUCAAUUGCUGACGGUUCGAACCCUAAGUAGGGGAGAACCGAGUAUUUUAUUAUGGGGAUUAGAUAUUUGUUCAAGAACGGUUAAAGAUCUGGAUAUAAUGACCUGCGGUGCGAAUUCAUGAGUCUAGGGUUAUUGGUGAUCGAGGCCAGGUGCAGAGCAAAAUAAUGCAUGUGGUAUGUGUUUGCGAAAGGAUGAGUGCAUAGGAAGAUACUAUGUGGCUUGUGCUUUUCAGAGUUAGCAUAUGUCGAGUUCGAGUACGAUUGGGUCGCUGGAUUGCGGAUGCCAUAGUUGAGAUUUGCAAGUAAAGGUAUAGAUUGUAAUCUAUACCCCCGAAAGGCCAGUCGCUGAUUCGUCAACCAAUUUCAGGGUCAAUAUGAGUAGUUUUGUGUGAGUAAUGAUCAGUAUAGGGAGACAAGUUGACAGAUUCUGCAAGAUCAUGCAGUAUCCAAGCAUGUGAUCGUGAGUGUGAGAUUAGUGGAUUGGGCAAAACAUCGUGAGAUUCAGUGUUGGAGAAUCAAGGUAUCCGGGUAUGAUGUCCUUAUUCCUAGAUUAUUCUGAGUUCUGAGUUGAGAGUCGCCCACUAGUGUAGCAAGCAUCCAUGGUUCCAGUGGGAGCACUUAGACUAAUUGAUGUUAAACGAGAUUAUUAAAGAAUGAGGAUUGUAACGAGAAAAGGAGUUGUCGUGUUGGUUGCCGUCAGGAGUAGUGACACUUACUUUUGGAUGGGUAUGUGUGCACCUAUCUAUGUUGGGCUGUGGAACGUGGGUUGGUGGAUGCAGUGUGUGGCGCCGACUUGAGGUUCAGACCGUGGAUGAUAAGAGAAAGUGCUGUAAGGCUGCAGGGAGCUGCAACAUGCGUGAAUUAGCAAAGGGGUGCAGUGAUACUACGGGGAGCCGUAGUAUUAACCAGUUAGUCAGUGAGAGCUUCUUGUGAUACUGCAGGGAGCUUGUAACAACGUAAAUUUUCAAACAAUUUUUCAUUUUUCAAAUAAAACAUAUCUUAUAAAAAUCAUCUCAAAACUCGAGUAUAGAAAAUGUCAUCAAGAUAAAACAUAACCCAAAAUCUCAAACACUAUCCUCUACCAGUGUGUACAAAUCAUGCCGGUGCCUUCCCACGAUCCUCGCUGGUACUUGAAACACAUGUCACAUAACAAAGUAAGUGAUGGUCUAUGAUUUUAUGGUUUAGGCUAGGCAUUCUUUUGUAUAGGUCUUGGUAGGAUGAUGGGGUGUGUUAUAGCUUAGUUGUGAGUGUGUGCUGUCGUUUCACCCAUGUGCGGCUGCACUCUUGGUUGCUACUACAGGUGGUAUAAAUAGCUUUAGUUUGUGUCAGUGUGUCAGAAGUGAGUGACGAAUGAAUAGUGAUCUGUCUGUGUGUACUUUCAAGGUGUACUUGACAUUUAUAAGCUAUAGACGUGUGCAUGCUUGAUUUUAUUUCCCUUCUACUUCUUAUACAUUCUACUUUGAUUGUUAUUACUUCAUUGAUUACUGAUUUGGAUCUAUAGUUUUGGGACUAACAAUUGGUAUCAGAGCCAAUUUGGUAUCAAUUGAAGUAUUUUUGACUGUGCGGUUGAAGAAAAUUGUCGUUUUUGAGAUACAUUCGUACUUUUGAAUUGAAGAACAGCUACUAAAUCAUUGUGUUUACUAGUUUGGAAUUAAAAAUUUGUCCAAAAUAUCCAGUUCUUUAGUGUGUACAGUUGUAUUUUUUAGUGUGCGGCUGGAGUUUUGAAGGAGUGCGGUUGGAAUUUUGAAGAAGUACAGUUGUGUGUACGGUUGAGUCUGUUGUGUGAGCGGUUGAGUUUAAUGUUGUGUGUGUGGUUGAAGUUUGUUGCUGCGUGUGCAGUUGAGUCUGUUGUUGUGUGUGCGGUUGAAGUGUGAUGCUGUGUGUGCGGUUGAGUUUGCUGCUGUGUCUGCGGUUGAGUUUGUUGCUUUGUGUAUGGUUGUGUUUGUUAUUGAGUGUAUGGUUGAUUGUGAAGAUUGUGUGUGCGGUUUCAAUCAUUCAAGUUGUUCAAAGUUUUAAACAAGGAAUCUCAAAGCAUGACAGUACAUCGAGAGCCUGACUCCAUCAUGGGAACAACUUCUCGGAUUCCUCGACUUUUCAAUGCUGAAGGCUUUCUAGAAUGGAAAUACCGAAUUGAAAAGUAUAUUAAAAUGAAAGAUUUCAAGAUUUGGCGUAGUAUAGUUAGAGGACCGAUUCGAAUCACUACAGUAGUGGAUGAAGUCAUUGUCGACAAACUAAUUGAAAAUUAUACGGAUGAGGAUUUCGAAAGAGUUGAAGAACAGGAGAAAGCCCUUGCUACGCUUACAAUGGCAUUAUCUCCAGAAAUUGCUCAGGGUUUUCGUGAGUAUACAUUUGCGAAGGCACUUUGGGAAGCCCUAAUCAAAGUCUAUGAGGGUAAUGAGGAUAUGAAGCAGAGUCGUCAGGACAUGCUUCGACAAAAGUUCAACAUGUUCAACUAUGUCCUGGGUAAGACUCUUGAGAAUCAGCUCCAAAGGUUCAUUACUCUCACUACAGUAAUGAGUUCUGCAGGUGUUUUAGUAACAAGAUCAGAAAUCAAGAAGAAAUUGUUAAACUCUCUUCCAAAAUCCUGGGACAUGAAUCUCUCAGUGAUUAAGAAAACAAAAGACUUAAACAUGCUGAGUUUGGUAGAAACAAUGGCUAUCAUCAAAGCUUGUGAUCUUGAUGACAAGCAGAGGGAGAUUAAUCAUGUUAAUUCUUAUUCCACUACAAAUCUAGGGAUCCAAACCUCAAACAACAAUGCUUUUUCAAUCUUCACAGUUGCACAAGCUCCUCAAGUUAACCCAACUACACAUGUUCCACAAGUUCAACCCUUCCUGACUCAUCAAUCGAUUCAACCUACAUCCUAUGUUCCCCUUUCCAUGCAACAAGUUCAAGUCUCUCAACCUGAGAUCAUGCCUCAACAAGUUAAUCUAAAUGCUGGAUCAUCUAAUGUUGUACCUUCUCAGUCUCAUGUUUUCAGCUCUUAGAUGUCAAACAUGAAAGAAAAGGAAGAAAAUAUGGCUCUUGCCACAGGUUUGGUAAACUGCUACAAUGGUUUCAUGGCUGGAGAACUCUCUCCACAACUUUUGUUUGCCGAUCUUGAUCAGAUUGAUCUUUAAGAGAUAGAAGAGAUGGAUAUAACCUGGCAAAUAGCCAUGGCCCUUUUCAGGGCAAAGCAGUUCUCCAAGAAAAUUGGUAAAAACAACUGGAGUGUAAAUGCUUACAAAAAGUAUGGGUUUAACAAAGGCAAACUUCGCUGCUACUACUGCAAUGAGCCAGGGCAUUUUGCUAGGGAAUGUUCAAAACCUGAAAAAAGGGAAAAUUCUGAUCGAACCGUGGUACUAAUUACCUAUGUUCACAGCAACAACAACAAAGGAUCAUCAUCAACCAAUCAAUCUGCAAAUUUGGCAAUGGUGGCCCAAUCCUUUGAUUGGGAAGAUCAAAUUCAAGCCCGGAAUAUCUUAGGACCUGAAAAUACCUUUCUGUCCCAAAUCAAGGAUUACAAGCAGAAAGAAACGGAGGCAAAUCCCGAAGAAGAAAUGAUGAAUCUCCAAUUUUCCUUCAUGGUGCAGACUACUUCUGAGCCAUCCAAGCCCGAGGUAAGUGAAUCUGGUUGCUCUCCAUCUUGCACUAAAACUAUUAAAUAUUUGCGAGAAUCAAUAGAAUUAAUCAAAAAAGAGAACGAGGACUUGAAAUAUGAGUGAUACACACUUAGAAAAAAACCAAAAGCCCUUAAAAACUCAAUUAGAAAAUAAAAUAAAGGAUUUUAGGAAAUUGCAAGAGGACUACAACAACAAAUGUGAGAACUAUGAUCAUCUCAAAUGAAAAUGUGAAGCUGUGUCCACUGAACUUGACUCAUUGAAAACACGCUUUGAAAAUGCUGAAUUUAAUUUUAAAAAAUAUGAUGGGUCUAGUGAAACAAUUGCAAAAAUGAUUGAGGGAAAAAAAACUGGAGAGAUAUCAGUCAUGGAAAUUAGAUAAAAGUUGGAUUAGGAUUUGAGAGUGUCCCCCUCCCUUUAAUCAUAACUACAUUUCCAUUCCCUUGUCUCAAGAUGAACUUGACAGAGAAUCUUACAUGGUAUAUGGAAAGUCAGCUUCUGAGCAAGUAAUACAGUCAAAUGAUAAGGUUUUGGGUACUAACGCAUCCAAUUUGAGUGCAGAUAAGUCCAUAGCUCAGGGGGAGCAAAGAGAUGAAAAAUUUGAUGUUCUUGAGUCUAGUGAUAAUGCUGUGUCAAAGUUUGGUGUUAGUUUAUGUAAUAAGUCCACAUUAAAUUCGAAAUUAGACAACUUUGUGUCUGGUGGUAUCGUUUACUUUGAUAAGACUGCAACUUAUAAUAAUGUGUCUGCUAAUGUUUCUAUGUCUGAUUCAAAUGUUUCUACUCCUUCCACAUCUGCUUCAAAAUCUUGUGAUCAUUCUUGCAAAUGUGAAAGUGUUGGCAAUAACAAUAAAAGAAAGAAAUCUGUCAAUAGCAAUGCCAAAAUUCAUUGAUAAGAGACAAACAUGUUUUAACUGUGGCACUGCUGGACAUAUUGCAAGAAACUGUUUGAACCGAAUGUUUGUAUCUCACACAUCAAGAAGAGCAGAGAAUGAAUUUUGGGGACGAUGUUUAACUAGAACAUUCCCCAGAACUCAUUCUCGAAAUGGUGACUUAAACACAAAACCAAACAAGAAAAUGACCAAUUUUCAAAAGAAUAAACAGGUUUUUCAUAAAUUCAACAAUAGUUUGCCAAAAUCAACUCAGGCUAAGCCCAAGUCGAUUUUUGUCAAAAAGCAGGAUCGGAUCUUCAAACUCUUCAAGUAGAAAAUCCACCGGCUCAAAGAAAACUAAUAAAUUUUCAAAACCUAACAUUGAGUGGAUACCUAAACAAAAUUCAGAUCAGUCACCAUUUAUCUUGAAAUCUCAUGAAAAUGAAAAAUCAAAUGAAAAAUAUGAGAAAGUGAAGGGUAAACCCAGGACUAUGAUGACAUGAGUUCCCAAGUCUAAAUAAUUCCGCUCAUCAUGCAGGGACAAUUGCGGAGGAAUGUCGUCAGACCCUGGUAUGUCGACAGCGGCUGCUCCCGGCAAAUGACCAGAGAUAUAUCUCGAUUGCACGACAUUCAAACAUUUAAUGGGGGAUAUGUCUCUUUUGCGGGAGGAGAAGGAGGAAAGAUAACUAAAAAGGGAACAAUUUCAAAUGGAGUGCUGAAUUUUGAGAAUGUUAACUAUGCCCCUGAAUUGAAACAUAGCUUGUUGAGCGUGUCCCAGAUCUGCGAUAAGGGUUAUUCAACUCAUUUCACAGAUAAAGAAUGUCUGAUCUUAAAGCCAGGCGUUGUCAUUCCAGAAGACUGGAUUCUUGUAAAAUCUAUGCGCGAUGGGAAUGCCUACAUCAUACACAUGAACAGUAAUAUCCCCAACGAAGUCACUUGCCUAUUCUCCAAAGUCUCAGAAUAAAAUGCGAUGUUGUGGCAUCGUCGUCUCGGUCACGCUAAUGCAAAGAACCUGAAUCGGCUUGCAAAGAACGAACUGGUCCGAGGUUUACCUGUUAGAGAUUUCAUUACAUUUGAAAAAUGUGUUUCCUGUGCUCAAGGAAAACAUCAUCGGAAACCACAACUUCCAAAGCAGAUCAACUCCAUUAGUCAUGUACUCGAGCUGUUACAUAUGGAUUUAUUUGGUCCAAUCAACGUUAUCAGCAUCAAUCGCAAUUCAUAUUGCCUCGUUGUGAUAGACGACUACUCUCGGUUCACUUGGGUUUUCUUUCUGUCCAACAAAGCUGGAAUCGCUGACCUCAUCAAAAGGUUUAUUGUAAUGCUUGAGAAUCAGACCAACAACUGAGUGAAAGUGCCGCAUAUUGAUAAUGGAAUAGAGUUCAAGAACGCUAUUCUUGACCAUUUUUGCACCAAGAAAGGGAUUGUGCGUCAGUUCAGUUAUGUUCGCACACCAUAACAAAAUGGUGUUGCCGAACGUAGCAAUCGUACUCUUAAAGACGCCACAAGGACGAUGCUUUGUGAUUCCAAACUUCCUGUGUUCUUUUGGGCGGAGGCGAUUAACACGGCGUGCAACGUUCAGAAUCACGUGCUAAUCAACAAAUCCAAAAUGAAAACACCGAACGAAAUUCUAUACGGACACAAGCCAUCUGUCAGCCAUUUCCAUGUGUUUGGCUGCCCUUGCACCCUUCUCCACUUGGAAUCCAACACUAAAUUUAAUGCAAAAGCCGAUGAUUGUUAUUUUGUUGGAUAUGCUGCUCGAACUGCAUACAGGGUUUAUAAUAAGAAGACGAAAUAGAUUGUGGAAUCUUUUGAUAUUCGUUGGCUUGAAGAGAAUGAGAGAGACACUAGAGUGGGUCCAGAUUGUCUAUUUGAUUACACAUAUCUCUUCAAAUCCUUCAAUGUGUCAUCGGAUAAUCAAGCGGGGUCUACAUCUAGUUCGAAGAUCAUUAUUGAAGACAAAGAGGAGGAAGUUAUCUAUAGACCACCUCUGGUCUCUUCUGAUCCCCCAAUGGUGUCUUCUGUUCACACUGAUUCUUCUGAGUCUUCUCCUUAACAACCUUGUACUGAUGUUGUUACUACUCCUUUAACUCCGGUGGAAAGAGAGUUCAUGAACCAAGAGACUUCCGCUGUAACUUCAAAUCUGAUGGAACUUCUCUUUCCAGAAAGUAUUGCUGAAGAGUUUGUAGCAGAUUCGACAAACAAACCUAGUUCAUCUACCAUGGAUCAUACAGCAAAUGACGGAGCGGUUAACAUCCAUAAUCUUCCAGUCUCUAUCAAUGACAUCACCUACGAGAUCCCUGCACGCAUUCAGCGCGACCAUCCAAUAGAGAACGUCAUUGGACAGCUGGGCGACGGUGUUCAAACAUGAAGUCAGGGUGGAGACGUUAAUACAUGUCUCUACUCUUGCGUUAUCUCUCAGAUAGAGCCCAAAAUGUCGAAAUGGCACUGAAUGAGCCUAGCUGGGUUGACGCCAUGCAUGAAGAACUUAAUCAAUUCGAGAAGCUCGGGGUUUGGAAGUUGGUGGAGCUGCCAAAAGGAAAGAAAUAUCUUGACACCAGAUGGGUCUUUCGGAACAAGCAAGAUGACUCAGGUGUCAUUGUGCGUAAUCAGGCAAGAUUAGUGGUUCGCGGGUUUCGACAAAUUGCGGGUCUUGAUUAUACGGAGGUUUAUACACCGGUGGCGCGAUUAGAGACUAUUCAUAUCUUCCUCUCAUAUGCUUCCUAUAUGAAAUUUACAGUAUACCAAAUGGAUGUCAACACAGCUUUCUUGUAUGGCAAGGUCAAGGAGGAGAUUUAUGUUGACCAACCGUCGGGUUUCGUUAACUCAAAGCUUCCUAAUCAUGUCUACAAGUUAGACAAAACUUUCUAUGGGCUGCAUCAAGCUCCUAGAGCUUGGUAUGCUACCGUAACACAACAUUUGCUCAAACACGACUAUUCCCGAGGCACCAUUGAUCAAACCUUAUUUAUCAAACAUGUCGGUCCGGAUCACAUUCUUGUUCAAAUCUAUGUGGGCGACAUUAUUUUCGGGUCGACAAGCCAACAGCUUUGCAAAGAGUUCGAAGCCGUGAUGAAGAAGCGGUUCGAGAUGAGUUCGCUUGGGGAAAUGACCACGUUUUUGGGGCUUCAGGUCCAACAAUCCUCAACCGGAAUCCUUAUUCACCAAGCAAAGUAUGUGGAUGAUGUGCUGGAGAAGUUCGGGUUUCGAGAUGCGAAACCUGCUCUUACACCCAUGGUGGAGAGACCUUUACUGGCUCCUGAUCUUGAAGGUGAAUCUGUAGAUCAGACAUACUAUCGAUCAAUGAUCGGAUCACUCAUGUAUCUAACUGCUAGUCGCCCAGACGUAAUGUUUGCGGUCUGUCAAUGCGCUCGCUAACAGGAUAAUCCUAAACUUUCUCAUUUAAAUGUUGUUAAACGGAUUUUUCGGUACCUCAAAGGUUGCCCAAAACUGGGUCUUUGGUAUCCGAAAAAUCCAAAAUUUGAUCUUUAUGCUUUUGUAGACAACAAUUAUGGCGGGUGCGAGCUUGAUAGAAAAUCGAAUUCAGGAGGAUGCCAAUUUCUGGGAGAUAGACUGGUCUCAUGGCAGUGCAAGAAGCAGCAUACCGUCUCAACCUCAAUAAGAGAAGCGGAAUAUGUCGCUGCGUCUACCUGUUGUUCUCAAGUGAUAUGGAUCCAACAUCAUCUGUUGGACUACGGUUUGAAUUUUCAAGAAACUCCUAUAUUUUGUUAUAAUGAGGCUGCGAUCCAAAUUGCAAAAAAUCCGGUCCAGCAUUCAAAAACCAAGCACAUCGACAUCGAUAUUCAUUUCAUCAGAGAAUGUUUUGAGUGCUCGCUCAUUCGGCUAGAACAGGUCCGCUCUGAUAAUAAUGUAGCAGAUCUGUUCACCAAGCCAUUUAACAAAGAUCGAUUCGAUGUGCUGGUUAAUUUUCUGAAAAUGAUUCGCUUUGAGGAUUACUUUUUGUUAGGUUAGUUUAAAUUUGCGUAUUUUAAUUUCAUUCUCACCCAUGCACAAAUUUAGGGGGAUAAAUAAACAAAAACCAAACAAAACAUUAGAAAAUCUAUAAAAACCAAUAACAUUAGAAAAAUAAAAAAAUCAAAAAUAGUUUUGUGAAGUAAUCAUUUGGGAAGUGAUAUCAGCUUGUGUUAACAAACAAUCUAGGUCUGUAUAAGGUACCAAAGCUGAAUUGGCUAGGCUCUGUGUUCGAUGCGCUGGUAGGCACGAAGACUUUAACGAACUUGACUAGGUGCAGAUGAACUUAAGGAAUCUAGAGACUUGAUAAAUCUUGACCUAGAUAGUUCCAUUUAGCCUAACAAUAUGAAGCUUGGAUAGGUUAAGCAGGGAGAUAUACAUGAGAAUCCACCAGUCACAUUAAGAGAACCCAUAUCUUGAUUAUUGGGGUAUAUCAGGAAGCGGGAAACACGUUCUAGUACACUUAAAAUUGAACCAAUUCUAGAUUGUCUGUAGAUCUCACUACUCAAUUUAGGUGGACAACAAUAUCCUUGGUUGUCCUCAGAUGAACGGUCCUUAGGAAAUUGUAUCUAGGAAUAUAGGAUCAACAUGUCUUGUCAUUUACAGCAUGUCCAAAAUUUUGUCACAAUUCUUCGUGCUUAAGUGGACCACAAUACUGGUGAUCGACCAGAUCUUUUCAUGAAAAGGGAGGUGCUGAUAAAUUGAAAACGAUUGUCUAACAAAUUUGAUCCCAUAUCUCAUAAGAGGAUUAAAAUCUAUUAAAAUUGAAAUUUUAGUAUUAUUAUUAUUAUUUUUUUAUUUUUAGAAUUAAUAAUAUUUUAAAUAUUUUAUUUUAUUUUAUUUUAUUUUAUUUUUAAUUUUUAUUUUUAAUUCCUAUUUUUAUUUUUAUUUUUAUCUUUAUUUUUAUUUUGAAAUUAAUCCUCAAAAUGAUUUGUUUCGAAAUAUUUUGAGUUUUGGGCUUUUAUUUGCAAAAGAUGAAAGAUGAAGGGCCGGUGUUGAAUCAUUGGACCAUAUAAAAAGAGGAAUGUGCGGUCAUAACUCAUUUUUUACCCUUACUCGACUGCACACUCCUCUGAUUCUCUCUCUUUCUCAUCUUCACGAUCUCUCCUCUUUUUAGUUGAAACUUAAGGUUAAUACUCGUUAAUAUCAUAAAAAUCGACUGCCAUAAUACUGUUUUGGAUCAAAAUCGACAUUGAAAACAAUAUCAUAUGUAUGUGUGCGGCUGGCUGUGUGCGCCUGGCUGUGUGCGGCUGACCGUGUGCGGCUGACCGUGUGUGGCUGACCGUGUGCGGCUGACCAAGUGCGGUUGGUCUGUGUGUGGUUGCCACGUGUGGAGUUUAACCAUUUACGGCCGCACCAUCCGUGUGUGGUUGGACUCGUAUGCUACUAGUAAGUAUCUAAUGUUGAGUUAAUUUUUUUUGGAAAUCUCUUGAUUUUUCUAAUGUGUUUUAUUUUAUUUUUAGAAAAUCAUGGGAGACUCUGAGUUCUCAAAAGUGCACAACUUGGCCAUCUUACUAGAAGAUCCUCCAAUGGCCCACCUCGAUCUCAAAUUCAUUGUUGAUCGUCUGAGAAGAUGUUGCUUGGUCUCUGCUCUCACAUUCAGUCCAGCAAUUUAUCAAUGUCUGAUUAAAGAAUUUUGGAGGAGCGCUUCUGUAAAGAGGACCAAUAACGAUGAGGAAUAUCUUGAGGCAUAUAUACAAGGAAGGAAAGUUUUAGUCACUGAAGACAUCAUUCGAGAAGUCCUACAAAUCGAUGAUAAGCAUGAAUAUCCAAGGGAGAUUAGUGAUAAUCAGAUUAAGGAAGUUCAUGGACAAAUGGGAUAUGAUGGAACCUUUCCACCAACCCACAAGAAGCUGUUGCCACCUUGUUGGAAAUAUCUGGCUCAUGUUUUUGUGAGCUAUAUUUUAGGACACAGAUCUGGUGCUAACGAGAUAUCAUUGUCAAAUACUGGUGCCAUCAUUGCUUUGGCCUCUAGAGUAAACUUUAAUUUUUCAAAAUUUAUCUUGCAUGAGAUGAUUUUGGAUAUUAAAGGAAACAAAAGGGAAAGGUUUCUAAUGUAUCCAAGGUUUAUCCAACUGAUCCUUAACAUCAUGCACCCUGAGAUUGAAAGGAAAGGAGAGACCCUGGAUAUCAAGUCAGUCGGCCCAAGUGCUUUUGGUUUAACGAAGCAAAAGAGAUCAGGAAAGCUCUACUUUGAAGGAAAAUUUCCUUUAAUCAGAUUUGGUAUCUUUGCCGAGGAGAAAGAUCAGUCAGAACCCAAUGAAUCUUCUUGUCCUACGGAGACGGACGAUGUGGUCAUCUCUACUUCUGAACCUGAAAUUGAAGAAGGUCUAAAAUCUCCUGUGCCCAGUGUUGCAUCAGAACAUGAUAUGAUGCAGAUUGUGGAAGAUGAGAGUGAUUAUGAUAGAGACAGAGAAGAACAUGAAGGAAAUGAUGAAUUUCUAAAUGAUAUGGACUUCUCAGGCCUUGACAAUGUUUCCAUUCCCCUCAACUUUGAUUUUGAACAGGAAAAUGCACUUGACAUAGAUUUGGAUCUCUCUGACAGAUUUUUCGAAAAGGUUGAUGAAGUUUCUCAAACUGCAACCAAGACUAGGGCUGCAAAGAAGACUCUCAAUCCUAUGCCGCCUUCGUCUACCCAAAUGGAAGAAAAUUCAACUCAACAGGGUACAGAUUCAAGGAUUCCUCCCCUAGACUCUGUUGCUCCUACAUUUAUCUCGACACAGGCACAGACCUCUCUGCCUCCUGUACAAGGAAUGGAUCAGAAUUUUAGGCAGGGAGUAUUCCCUCAAAACCAGUCACCACCUGUUUCAGCCACUAUUAACACCACAGCUAUUGCAACCCCACCCCUCCAAUCCCAUGAACGUCCAUGUACCAUGCAUGAGACAGGAGAACCAUCUAGUGUUCCGGUAUAUUCCCCAACGAGACCGUCGCUUGAUGAGGCCUCUAUCAGACUCGCCAAGCACCUUGCUCAACACAGUCCGACCUCUUCCUCUCGUGGCAAAGGUAUAUCUUUCAGAGAAGAGCAUUCAGGUGAUGACAAGUCAGCUGUGUCAGAACUUCGAGAAGAUAUUGUUGUUCUCAAGCAAGAACUGAUUGAAAAGAACAUUCAAAUGGAUCAACUCACUUCUCACAUAGAAGAGCUUAAAGAAAAGGAUGAAGAGAAGUCAAAACAGAUUAAGGAUCUAUAGACGAAUCUUGGCUCUGUGACUACCUUCUACUUCAAUUUGAAGAACGUUCUAUAUGAUGCUUUCGGGGAUAAAGUUAAAGCACUAUUUCAGCAACCGCACGGAAUUGAGGAUCCUCCCAUGACCUCCACACAAUCUACUUCUGACAAUCUUCCAGUUGAUCCACCUCCUCUUAGAACAACUACAGUUGUCAAUAGAUUUGAGAAAGAACCUGAAGGCAGUAGAGCCCGCAUCAGAAUCAAAUAGGGAAAGAGGAUUGUUACAGCUAACAAAAGAGAAGGGUUACUCUUCAUGAAAAAUUCAAACGAGAAUCGCAAAGCCAAAGACCCUGUGCUAAUAGUGACUGAUCUCAAAAAGAGAAAAUUUGGUGAUGAGUAUAGAGAUCGCUCUGGGAUCAGAAUGUGGAAUUAUGAUCCUGAGUCUAAGCUAUGGGUGGUUAAGAGGAAUUUUGGUCACUCAGAAUACUACAGAAACAUCCAUGAUUUUCACUCAUGGACGAAGGUUGAUCUCUCGGAACUCUCAAGAGCCCCUUUCCACAAUACCUCUACUAAUCAAAGCACUACAACUUUGAAGCAGUUCCUGGACAGACAAGUUAGGGAUAACUUCCCAUCAAUGAAGACGGCAAAAGCCAUGGUUGUAAAGGAUAAGGAUAUUCUUGAUCCUGAGAAUAACCGACCAAUGAAGAUCAUGUUGUGGCUUGCUACUAAUCAAGUGAAAGUGAUUCCCAUUCCACAACAUUUCCAGGAAGGAUACCUUGAUGAUAUGGAGUUUUGGCCUUUUGAUGAUGAAACAACAACUGCAGCAAUCAUGUUCAAAAAUAGGGACACCGUUCUGAGACACGUCUGUGCAAAGGAUCUUUUGAGAUUCAGGGAGAGAGACAUUCGGACCCUAGCUCGUCACCAAAUUAUUUGCAGAAAAGAUGUCAUGGAGGUUUCUGCGAAGGAAUUCACUAGAAUGGUCGCCUCUAUCAUAAAUGGAAAGCAAUGGAUGUGAUCCAUGGGAAAAGCUGACAUGAAGCUGUCCAAAUCUCCUGAAGAAUGAAGACCUGAAUUCAUGCUAGCCUCAAAGCAAGGGGGAGAUUGAUGGUCUAUGAUUUUAUGGUUUGGGCUAGGAAUUCUUUUGUACAGGUCUUGGUAGGAUGAUGGGGUGUGUUAUAGCUUAGUUGUGAGUGUGUUCUGCCGUUCCUGUGUGUGCGGCCGUAUACGCGUGUGCGGAUGCACUCUUGUGUGCUGCUAUAGGUGGUAUAUAUAGCUUUAGGUUGUGUCAGUGUGUCAGAAGUGAGUGACGAAUGAACAGUGAUCUGUCUGUGUGUACUUUCAAGGUGUACUUGACAUUUAUAAGCUAUAGAUGUGUGCAUGCUUGAUUUUAUUUCUCUUCUACUUCUUAUACAUUCUACUUUGAUUGUUAUUACUUCAUUGAUUAAUGAUUUGGAUCUAUAGUUUUGGGACUAACAGUAAGCAUAAAUGCUUAGUGAGUUCCCCAAAAUACCACAUACAACAUAUAACCCACUCGAGGCUAUAACUCGGUAAGACCCUCUGGUCAAUGUGUCUCAAUGGAAGACUCCAGUCCCAUAGCUCGUUGGACCUUCCGGUCCGGUCUGGUUGAGGAACCUUUGGCCUCGUAAGUCGUUGGACCCUCCGGUCCGGUCUAUCAUAUAGCAUACACAAAUCACAAAGUACAUAAUCUCAAACAAGCACAUAACACGUAAGACCCUCCGGUCUACACAUAGAUACCACUCUAAGUAAUGUAUAGUGAGAAGACUCACCUCGAUAGGUGUCUAGAAAACUCGCAUGUUUGAAUCCCCGAUCUAGCCUCCUCCUAUCAAAAUGAUAAUAUCUCAACUCAAUACUCUCAUAUGUUCUCAUCUUUAAAGAAUGGGUAGAAGACUAUUCUACCUUUGUAUGGCCUCUCAUGAAUCCGUUUGACCAAAACCCUAAGGUAAACAGUAGUCAACUCCAGCCAACGGUCCAACUCAGACCAUACUCGUCGAGUCCUCCAUCGCAACACUCAUUUGACUUUCUAAGGUCAGAUCUGGUUAUCUAACUUAUAGAUCUGGCCUUCUAGCACCCAAAAGUCAUGUAAAAGUGAAAUCUUUAUGCCCAUGCACCACACAUUUAGCUCUAUUUGAUAAAAUGACCUUUAUAAUGGUGUCAUAAGCUUAAUCCUCUUAUGUGACUGCAGAAAGCUUGCCUCAUGGGACUCUCUGGACCUCUCAAGGUCCAGAUCUAAAGUCUAAGCCUCAAGGGGACCUCAUAUACUCAAUAUCUUACACUAAAAGAGGGUAAAGAAACCCUAAUUUCAUGAGGUCUAAUAAUCAUACGAAAUAGGUAUAGAUUCGAACCUUAAACAAGAACCUAGAAUGGAAUAGAAGUAUAUCUGAGCUCCUCUGUUUGAUUUAGCUUGAACAACCUUCUCCUUCCUUGAAAAGAUGCACCAAAAUGAAGAAAAUGGGUUCCUAUUUCAGUCUAAACUCUCUGCAUUGAUAAGGGCCUCUCAAAGGGAAGGGUGGCUACAAAUAAAGGCCAUAAGGGCCUUUAAAUAGGUGUCAGGUCCAAAGAUUUAGGGUUUCUGUCCACAGCCCGGUCUCGUCGAGUCGACUCUCCGACUCGUCGAAUCCCUUCAUUAAUCUGAGUCAUCAUUCGUGAUCCUAAUCGACGAGUUUAGGCGUCAAAUCGUCGAGUCCCCCCCUUCUUAACUCAAAAUAAAUACUUAAAUUAUGAUACCUGGAAAUCCGGAUGUUACAAUUCCCCCCACUAGAAUCAGACUUCUCCCUCGAAGUCUCACUCUACAAAUAACUCUGGAUGCUACUCACGCAUCUCCACCUUCGGUUUGCAAGUCAACUCGGACCCUCUCCAAUGUUGCCACUGGACCUGAACCAGGGGCACCUCUUUGUUCCUCAGAAUCUUGAUCUUGCGAUCCAAGAUCGCGAUCAGCCUCUCAAUGUAAUUCAGGCUCACAUCUACCUAAAUAUCCUCUAGCGGCACCACCACAGUCUCAUCGGUUAUACACUUCCUCAACUGGGAUACGUGGAAGGUAUCAUGGAUCUGACCCAACUCCUCGGGUAGCUCUAAACGGUAUGCUACCUUGCCUACUUUGGCCCCAACUUGCCCCUCUUCCUGAACUGGAUGACUCCUUUCUAAGGAGAUACCUUCAGGAGUACAAAGUCUCCAACCUGAAACUCAAGCUCGGAUCGCCGCCUAUCUGCAUAGCUCUUCUGGCGGCUCUGGACUGUCAGUAACCUCUGUCUGACCUACUGUAUCUGUUUAGUCGUUUAAGCACUAUCUUAAUGCUACGCAUCAGUUGCAGCCCUACCUCUCCGCAACAGAUGGGAGACCGACACCUCCUCCCAUAUAAAAGCUCAAAAGGAGGCAUACCAAUACUCGAAUGGUGGCUGUUGUUUUAAGAAAACUCAGCCAAAGGUAGGUAUGUGUCCCAACUUCCACCAAAGUCCAUAACACAUGCUCGAAGCAUGUCCACGAGCGUCUGAAUCAUCUGCUCACUCUGCUCGUCUGUCUGAGGGUGAUAGGCGGUACUGAAGUGCAAUCUCGUACCCAACUCCUCAUGGAACUUCUUCCAGAACCUGGAAGUGAAACGUACAUCUCGGUCUAACACAAUCAAGAUCGGCAAUGCGUGUCGCGACACCACCUCUCUCACAUAUAUCUCUGCUAGCCUCUCCACAGAAGAGCUCUCACUGAUAACAAGGAAAUGAGCGCUCUUCGUCAGCUGAUCCACAACCACCCAAAUUGCAUCAACACCCCUCGCGGUCCUCGGCAAUUUGGUGAUGAAGUCCAUAGAAAUUUGUUCCCACUUCCACUGGGGAACCUCUAGCGAUUCUCCGGUCUCUCUUGCGAUUCUAUGGUCUCACAGCCUCUUCCUAGGCCUCUCGAAUGGUAUCUAACACUAGAGUCAUUGAAAGACCCUAACUUUCGUAUUUAUGAAAGACCCAAACUUUCAUACUCGACAAUAUAGUUACUCCAAAACAUGCUACUUGCAUAUUCAUAAAAACAAUAUUUUACAUUGAUAAAGAGAUUACAAACUACUGGAUACAAACCGACUAUUUUAAAGUGUUAUAUAUUACAUAACUUCCCAGGAUUCUAUAGUUUUAUACAUAUGGGAGUGCAAAAUACAAUAGUUUCAAACUAUUCAUAAGCUUCCAUCGAUACAAUAGUUUCAAACUAUUCAAAAAUCUUCUACCAGUAUAUAACUAUACUGGAUGUUUAUCUCCUGCAAUUUGUUAAACAUCGAGAGGGUAAGCGGACACGCUUAGUGAGUUCAAUAAUAGAUACAAUAUAACGUUAUGCCAUAUAUAUACUUUAAUAGGGCAGAAGCAAAGAGGAACAAGGAACAACAAGGGCAUAUGUGAAUCAUGUGACAAACAUUCCAUAUCAAUCAUUGAUUUGAUUUAAAGAUAUACAAUCAAUGAGAUAUAACAAUUUCCGUGCUUGAUAUACAUCAAUAAAGCUUUGGCCCAAACGGCACAGAAGAUAUACAACUUAGGAUUAACAUUUCGGUAGAUUUCAGGCUUAUAGCCUUAUCUAACCUUCUGCCACUACCAUAGAAUAAAGUUCAUUCUCUUACGGAGACAUGUUCCACAUGGCCAGAGGCUACAUACCAGUACCAACAUGAAUCUAAGUCCUUUCACUGAUCACAUGGUCAAAGGUAUUUCUUUGCUAUUAAAAAUAGCAAAUAAAAAUAACCCGGGAAAAUAACCCGGAAUAAUAACACUGAAAAGCACGUAGCACAUAUAACACAUAACAUACAAUUAUUUCUAUAUAUUAAACUCACCGUGAAAUAACCGGGGGCUAAAAUAUUAAUUUGGGCAGUACUUCGGCUCUAAAUAUGACUUUCGUCGUUGAAAACCGAGAGUUUUCUUGAAAAACCGGGCUCUGCGAAGGUAGAGCUUUGAAACCGAAAAGAUAUAUUUUUCGGAAUUCUCGGGAGUCUCGGGGCGUGUUUCGGGCUUUAGAAUCAGUACCGGGGCUUCGGGGGAUGUCGGGAUCGUAAAAAUAUUGAAAGAGGGGGUGAAAAUGCCAAAUUUCUAAAACUAGCCGAGAGGGCUCGCACCCCUUAUAUAGGGCUGAGCUUCGGAUCCGAAGCGAAGGGAAGCAGAUGGUGGCUGCGAGGUUCGGACCAGAUGGCAGCUUCGCAGGGCUCCAGCGAGGCUCGGAUGCGAGGAGUCAUCAGCUUCAGGCGCGUCAUCGGCUGGGUCUUCGGCUGGGUCUUCGGCUCGGACAGCAGGUGGCUCGCACGUGGGUCUCGCAUGCGAGGGUGAUCCAGGGGGUGUCUCAUGCGAAGGUGUUCCGGGCUUAGUGGUCCUCGGCUUGGUCCAAUCAGAAGGCAACACGCAAGGCUGCGGUCCAAUCAGAAGCGAACAUCUGUCCGACACGUGGAAGCCUCGCAUACGAGGGUGACGUGGCAUUUCACUAUUCAUAUGAAUUUUCUCGAAAAAUGUGCAAAAACUUCUAAAAUCCAUAACUUUCGCAUACGAGCUCCGUUUUUGUCGUUCUUUAUAUGCACGCGAAGCUAGAAUUAUACUCUACAACAUUCGUUUAGACUUCGUCGGCUAAUUUUGAAUUUAAUUUUAAUAUUAUUAUUUAUAACAGACCUGGACAGGAAAAUCCGUUAAAAAUUCAUAACUUCUUCAUCCGACGUCCGUUUUCGUCAGACUUUUUACCGUUGCACUACUAAUGACGAGACCUUCAAUUCUCGUUUAGGUUGUGUCGGCUAAAAAUCACUCGAUCUAAAAUUCGAGUUUUUAGCUGUCUACUGCUAAGCUGAAACUUCGAAAAAUCAUAACUUCCUCAUACGAAGUCAGAUUCAAACGGUCUUUAUAUGAAAGUUGAUUAUUUUCACGAGUUCUACAACUUUCAUUUAUAUCACCAAGGCUAAAAAUUAGUUUAUCGAAAACUAAAUUUCUUCGCGACAAGGUAUUUUCCGGAUUUAUCACGGAUUUUCUUUUGGUCAUAACUUCUUCGUUAUAACUCGGAUUUCGAUAAGAUUUUCGCCUAAAUGUUUCUAACGAGAUUAUCUAUAACUUUCAAUAAUAAAAUUUUACUUAUUCCAGAUUUUAUAUUUUCGCUAUAUUUCACUAUUUGGCUUUUAAUUGGAAUCUCAUAAGACUUCCAAUACUUUCUGAAUGAUUCUAAGCAUAGUUUUACUUCAAUUCUAGUAAAAACUAUCUGUUAGAACUCAACAUUCAAAUUCACAUAAUAUUUCAUAAUAUUAUUUACUUAAAACACGAUUUCAAAACGUGUAUGUUACAAAUACCUCCUCCUUUUGAGGAUUUCGUCCCCGAAAUUACAUCGAUUAAAAUAAAUGGGGAUAUUUUGCUCUUAUCUCAUUCUUAUUUUCCCAAGUAUAAUUUGGGCCUCGAUGGUGUUUCCACUUGACAAGCACCAACUCCACUUCUUUAUUACGUAGAUUAGUUGUUCUUUCAUUCACGAUCUCUUCCGGCUCUUCUACAUAUCUUAACUUAUUAUCCAAUUUCACUUCAGAUAAUGGAACUGUCUCAUCAUUGAUGCUCAAGCAUUUGCGCAGAUAGCUCACAUGAAACACAUCAUGAAUACCUGCCAAAUCUUCAGGUAAUUCUAAGCGGUAUGCUUGCUUUCCAAUUCUCUGGAUGAUUUUGAAAGGACCAACAAAUCUAGGACUUAACUUUCCUUUCUUCCCAAAUCUCAUAAGGCCUUUCCAUGGAGAUACCUUCAACAUCACGAAAUCACCCACUUGGAAUUCUAUGGGUCGUCUUCUCUUUUCUGUAUAGGACUUCUGUCGAUCCUGGGCCGCUUUCAUUCUUUCUCGUACGAUUUGAAUUUUGUCGGUGGUGUCUUGAAUCAUUUCAGGGCCUCCAAGGAUCUUCUGUCCUAUGUCUCGCCAACAUAAUGGAGUACGACACUUGCGACCAUAUAAUGCUUCAUAUGGUGGCAUUUUGAUUGAAGCGUGGUAACUAUUAUUAUACGAGAAUUCGACAAGAGGUAAGUAUUUAUCCCAGUUACCACCGAACUCCAAGACACAUGCACGAAGCAUAUCUUCUACUGUUUGGAUUGUUCUCUCUGUUUGACCAUCUGUCUGGGGAUGAUAUGUUGUGCUAAGAGCAACUCGAGAUCCCAAUCCACGUUGCAUACUCACCCAAAAGUGAGAAGUGAAGCGAGUAUCACGAUCGGAUAUGAUCUUUAGUGGCACACCAUGUCUUGCGACAAUUUCAUGCAAGUAUACUUUUGCGUAUUUCUCCAUUGGGGCCAUUUCACGCAUGGCAAGAAAAUGAGCGCUUUUAGUCAGGCGGUCGACAAUUACCCAAAUGCUAUCAUGUUGUCUAGCAGUCUUUGGCAAUUUGGUAAUGAAAUCCAUGGACAAUUCCUCACAUUUCCAUACAUGAACACUAAGACUUUCUGGGGUUCCAUAAGGCUUUUGGUGCUCUGCUUUGAUUUGUAAGCAUACUAAGCAUUCUUGUACAUAUCUUCCAAUGUCUCUCUUUAAUCCAGGCCACCAAUAAUCAGCUCUUACAUCAUAGUACAUUUUACUUGUACCAGGAUGGAUUGACAGUUUAGAUUUAUGGGUUUCAUCUAAAAUCUUCUGUCUCAAUCCACCGAUCUUUGGAAUCCACAACCGAUUCUUGAAUACUUUUAAUCCUCGCGGAUCAUCAAGUAGAGCAUCAUUAUAAUGUAUCAUCCCUUCUUUCUUCACAUUUUCUGGCUUUAGGGCCUCUUCUUGCCAUUUCUCUAAUUCAUCUAAAAUAGUGAAUUUUACUGUAGUAUGAGUAAUGGCAUAACACAUACUAUUGCGAUAAACUUUUCUGCUAAGUGCAUCAGCAACCACGUUAGCUUUUCCAGGAUGAUAUAGGAUUUCACAAUCAUAAUCUUUGAUCAGCUCCAUGGCUCGUUGUUGUCUCAUAUUCAAAGUUUGCUGACUGAAUAUGUACUUGAGACUUUUGUGGUCGGUAAAUAAUUGGCACUUUGUACCAAAAAGAUAAUGCCUCCAAAGUUUUAGGGCAAAUACCACUGCAGCGAGUUCGAGAUCAUGAGUGGGAUAAUUCUUUUCAUAAUCUUUCAGUUGUCUUGAGGCAUAGGCUAUCACUUUGCCACGUUGCAUCAACACACAACCGAGUCCCAAUCUUGAAGCAUCGCUAUAUACGGAGAAGUCAUCAUCACCUUCUGGGAGUGAUAAGAUUGGAGCAUGAGUCAAAAGAUCUUUUAGAGUUGAGAAAGCUCUUUCUUGGGUUUCACCCCAUUCGAACUUCACUUCUUUCCGUGUAAGACUCGUGAGAGGUACGGCUAUACGAGAAAAGUCUUUAAUGAAUCUCCGGUAAUAUCCCGCGAGACCUAAGAAACUACGAAUUUCGGAAGCAUUACGGGGCACUUCCCAAUUUUGAAUGGCUUCGAUUUUGAUAGGAUCUACGGAUACACCAUCACUAGAAAUAACAUGGCCGAGAAAUUGAACUUGGCGAAGCCAAAAUUCACAUUUCGAGAAUUUAGCAUAUAGUUUCUCCUUUCGAAGAAGUUCCAAUACCGCACGAAUAUGAAUGGCAUGAUCAGCUUCAGACUUGGAAUAGAUUAGAAUAUCAUCAAUGAAUACGAUGACUGAUUUAUCGAGCAUUGGGCGGCAUACCCGAUUCAUCAUAUCCAUGAAUACAGCCGGAGCGUUUGUUAAACCAAACGGCAUAACAAGGAAUUCAUAAUGCCCAUAUCGAGUACGAAAAGCAGUCUUCGGUACAUCUUGCUCGUGAACUUUCAACUGAUGAUAGCCAGAUCUUAAAUCAAUUUUUGAGAAAUAGCUAACACCCUGAAGUUGAUCGAACAAAUCGUCGAUGCGAGGUGGUGGGUACUUGUUCUUGAUAGUCACCUUAUUCAGCUCACGAUAAUCAAUGCACAUCCGCAUCGAUCCAUCUUUCUUCUUGACAAACAGUACCGGAGCACCCCAGGGAGAGGUACUCGGUCGAAUGAAACCCUUGUCAAGUAGUUCUUACAGUUGGAUCAUCAUUUCUUUCAUCUCAGCUGCCGCAAGACGAUAAGGAGUCUUUGCAAUCGGAGCAGCACCAGGCACAAGGUCAAUUCGAAAUUCUACUUGCCUAUCCGGAGGAAGGCCAGUAAUGUCAUCGGGGAAAAUGUCAGGAUAUUCGUUAACAACAGGAACAUCAUUUACAGUUUUCUUCUCCUCUUUUGAGACAUCAACUGUGUAGGCUAGAUAGAUAGAACAUCCUUUCGAUAUGAAUUUAUGAGCUUUAAGGAAAGAGAUUACUUUUAAGAAUCUUUGUUCACCGUAGACAUAGAUAGGAUUCUCCCCUUCAAUAGGAAUGCGUACUAUCUUUUCAUAGCACAAGAGUUCAGCGUGGUUCUUUGAUAACCAAUCCAUGCCGAGAAUAAUAUCAAAGUUGGGCAAGGAGAUAGGGAUAAGGUUAGCGAGAAAAGUAUAGCCUUCAAUUUCUAUAACACAAUCUCUACAGACUUUAUCAGCAAGUAAUGAUUAACUUCCCGCAGUAUCUACGUGAAAUGGUUGUGCAAGUACAAAGCAAUCAAUUUGAAAGGCAUGCGCAAAUUCGUAAGACACAAAAAAAUCUGAGGCACCAGAAUCAAAUAAGAUGUGUGCAGGUCUAGAGUUGAUAAGAAAUGUACCCGUCACAACAUUCGGGUCCUCGCGUGCCUCCUCUGAGGUAAUCUGGAAUGCACGACCCCUAGCUUUUGGCACCUCCUCCUUUUUAGUUGGAGUACCCUUUGAUAGUUGAACAGGGACUUGGCUUCUCGCCGGUUGUUGAACAGAAGCUUGACUUCCUGUCAUUUGACUAGUAAGAGUAGUGCAAAAACGCUUCUUGUGGCCAGUAAUACCGUAUGCAUAGCAAGUAACAUCCUUUAAUGGGCAAGCUGGCUUUAUAUGACCCUUUUCUCCGCAUCCAUAACAGACAAUGGAUUCCUUGUCUAUUUUGCAUUGGCCCGGAUGAUUCCUUCCACAAAUACGACAUGAAGGCGAUUGCAUAGAAAAAGAUUGUGAUCUACCGCGUCCACGAGAGGCACUUUGAGUUUGAACUUGAUUACCAGGAUCAGUCCGAACGGAUUGAGCUGGUAGAAAAGAAGGAACAGUUCUUUCAGUACGUGGUUGCUUCGGAGCAGUAAUAGUGGCACCACGUAUUUCUAAGUCAUGCUCACGUCUUCGAGCAUAUUCAACGGCUUUAUCGAAUGACAGAACUUCUCGAUUGGCAACGAAAUCGUGGAUUUCGUGUCGUAGUCCCUCCAUGAAUAACUGAAUUUUCUCGUCUUCAGUUGGAAUAUACUUUGUAGCAAACCUUGCUCUUUGAUUAAACUGAGUUUCAUACUCAUUCACAGUCAUUCCUCCUUGUUUAAGCUCGAGGAAUUCCUUCUCCAAUCUCCUCCUCAUGUCUAGAGGACAAUACUUCUCUAGCAAACGAGUUUUAAACAUUUCCCAGGCUAAAUUCUCCUGGUCAAACCCGUUGAGAGCUUCAUAUGUUGCUUCCCACCAGACCAAUGCUUCUCCGAUGAGCAUUGCGGAAGCAUAGUUAGCCUUGUCUUCAUUAUCCACAUGAGAAAUACGAAACACUUUCUCUGUGUUCUGGAUCCAAGUAAGAACAAUAAUGGGAUUGAGAACACCGGAAAACUCUGUAGCACCACUACUCUUGAAAUCUUUGAACGAGGGACGCUUCACCUCUCCUUUUGAAGAUUCUCCAGUGGCUUUCUCUUUUCCCUUAUCACCAUUCUUUUUGUGUUCUUCGAGAGUUUGUCGAAUAACACCGGUAAGUUUACCCAAGAGUCGCUCCUCACGAGGAGAUACUGGAGUAUUCACUUCCUCGGGUUGAGGACCUCCACCAACCUCAGGGGUAUGGCUACUAACCUGUUCAGCCAUUGCUCUGCAAUACGGAGUAACAUUGUAUUUUAGAAUAUUAGGGUUUAUUAUUACCUAAUACUUUUACUUAUAUAUUUCCUAUGGUUUGUAUCCCUAUACUUAUAAUGAUUUAGUUCAUAUAUUGAACUUCCAAUAGUUUAAGUCUAAAUACCAAUCCGUGGAAUUUAGUUCACUCAAACUACUGCUCUGAUACCAUGAUUGAAAGACCCUAACUUUCGUAUUUAUGAAAGACCCAAACUUUCAUACUCGACAAUAUAGUUACUCCAAAACAUGCUACUUGCAUAUUCAUAAAAACAAUAUUUUACAUUGAUAAAGAGAUUACAAACUACUGGAUACAAUCCGACUAUUUUAAAGUGUUAUAUAUUACAUAACUUCCCAGGAUUCUAUAGUUUUAUACAUAUGGGAGUGCAAAAUACAAUAGUUUCAAACUAUUCAUAAGCUUCCAUCGAUACAAUAGUUUCAAACUAUUCAAAAAUCUUCUACCAGUAUAUAACUAUACUGGAUGUUUAUCUCCUGCAAUUUGUUAAACAUCGAGAGGGUAAGCGGACACGCUUAGUGAGUUCAAUAAUAGAUACAAUAUAACGUUAUGCCAUAUAUAUACUUUAAUAGGGCAGAAGCAAAGAGGAACAAGGAACAACAAGGGCAUAUGUGAAUCAUGUGACAAACAUUCCAUAUAAAUCAUUGAUUUGAUUUAAAGAUAUACAAUCAAUGAGACAUAACAAUUUCCGUGCUUGAUAUACAUCAAUAAAGCUUUGGCCCAAACGGCACAGAAGAUAAACAACUUAGGAUUAACAUUUCGGUAGAUUUCAGGCUUAUAGCCUUAUCUAACCUUCUGCCACUACCAUAGAAUAGAAUUGACUCUCUUACGGAGACAUGUUCCACAUGGCUAGAGGCUACAUACCAGUACCAACGUGAAUCUAAGUCCUUUCACUGAUCACAUGGUCAAAGGUAUUUCUUUGCUAUUAAAAAUAGCAAAUAAAAAUAACCCGGGAAAAUAACCCGGAAUAAUAACACUGAAAAGCACGUAGCACAUAUAACACAUAACAUACAAUUAUUUCUAUAUAUUAAACUCACCGUGAAAUGACCGGGGUCUAAAAUAUUAAUUUGGGCAGUACUUCGGCUCUAAAUAUGACUUUCGUCGUUGAAAACCGGAAGUUUUCUUGAAAAACCGGGCUCUGCGAAGGUAGUGCUUCGAAACCGAAAAGAUAAAUUUUUCGGAAUUCUCGGGAGUCUCGGGGCGUGUUUCGGGCUUUAGAAUCAGUACCGGGGCUUUGGGGGAUGUCGGGAUCGUAAAAAUAUUGAAAGAGGGGGUGAAAAUGCCAAAUUUCUAAAACUAGCCGAGAGGGCUCGCACCCCUUAUAUAGGGCUGAGCUUCGGAUCCGAAGCGAAGGGAAGGAGACGGCGGCUGCGAGGUUCGGACCAGAUGGCAGCUUCGCAGGGCUCCAGCGAGGCUCGGAUGCGAGGAGUCAUCAGCUUCAGGCGCGUCAUCGGCUGGGUCUUCGGCUGGGUCUUCGGCUCGGACAGCAGGUGGCUCGCACGUGGGUCUCGCAUGCGAGGGUGAUCAAGGGGGUGUCUCAUGCGAAGGUGCUCCGGGCUUAGUGGUCCUCGGCUUGGUCCAAUCAGAAGGCAACACGCAAGGCUGCGGUCCAAUCAGAAGCGAACAUCUGUCCGACACGUGGAAGCCUCGCAUACGAGGGUGACGUGGCAUUUCACUAUUCAUAUGAAUUUUCUCGAAAAAUGUGCAAAAACUUCUAAAAUCCAUAACUUUCGCAUACGAGCUCCGUUUUUGUCGUUCUUUAUAUGAACGCGAAGCUAGAAUUAUACUCUACAACUUUCGUUUAGACUUCAUCGGCUAAUUUUGAAUUUAAUUUUAAUAUUAUUAUUUUUAACAGACCGGGACAUGAAAAUCCGUUAAAAAUUCAUAACUUCUUCAUCCGACGUCCGUUUUCGUCAGACUUUUUACCGUUGCACUACUAAUGACGAGACCUUCAAUUCUCAUUUAAAUUGUGUCGGCUAAAAAUCACUCGAUCUAAAAUUCGAGUUUUUAGCUGUCUGCUGCUAAGCUGAAACUUCGAAAAAUCAUAACUUCCUCAUACGAAGUCAGAUUCAAACGGUCUUUAUAUGAAAGUUGAUUAUUUUCACGAGUUCUACAACUUUCAUUUACAUCACUAAGGCUAAAAAUUAGUUUAUCGAAAACUAAAUUUCUACGCGACAAGGUAUUUUCCGGAUUUAUCACGGAUCUUCGUUUGGUCAUAACUUUUUCGUUGUAACUCGGAUUUCGAAGAGGUUUUCGACUAAAUGUUUCUAACGAGAUUAUCUAUAACUUUCAAUAAUAAAAUUUUACUUAUUCCAAAUUUUAUAUUUUCGCUAUAUUUCACUAUUUGGCUUUUAAUUGGAAUCUCAUAAGACUUCCAAUACUUUCUGAAUGAUUCUAAGCAUAGUUUUACUUCAAUUCUAGUAAAAACUAUCUGUUAGAACUCAACAUCCAAAUUCACAUAAUAUUUCCUAAUAUUAUUAACUUAAAACACGAUUUCAAAACGUGUAUGUUACAGUCAUCACCGUCAUCCUCAUACAUAUAUCUUGAAUCGGAGCACUCUCCGCCUUGUGGCUCAGAGCAUCGGCUACCACAUUAGCCUUGUCCAAGUGGUACAGGAUCUCACAGUCGUAAUCCUUUACCACAUCCAACGAUCUCCUAUGGCGCAUAUUUAGGUUGGGCUGAUGCAUCAGAUACUUCAAACUCUUAUGGUUCGUGUAUAUGGUACAUUGAACCCCAUACAAAUAAUGGCGCCAUAUGUUGAGGGCGAACGCCACUGCCCCCAACUCCAAAUCGUGGAUAGGAUACUUUGUCUCAUGAGGCUUCAACUGCCUUGAUGUGUAUGCUAUCACAUGCCCUCUCUGCGUAAGCACCACACCCAACCCCGAUAUCAAUGCAUCCCAAUAUACCACAAAAUCCUCCAUUCCGUCCGGAAGGGCUAACACCGGGCUUCGCAUAAUCUCUGGCGAAGAGUCUCAAAUGAGGUCUGCUGCUCGGGACCCCAAGUAAAAACAACGCCCUUCCGGGUCAACCUGGUGAGGGGAACGAUAAUAUUGGAGAAAUCCAUGAUAAUUUUCGAUAGUAGCCGGCCAAUCCCAGAAAACUCCUGAUCUCGGUGGGGGAUCUCAGCACCACCCAACUCAUAACCGCCUCAAUCAUGGCCGGAUCAACCAAUAUCCCAUUCUGAUUAAUGAGGUGCCCCAAGAACUGGACCUCUCAUAAUCAGAAGUCACACUUGGAGAAUUUGGCUUAAAGCCUCUCCGAUCUCAACACCCCAAGGAUCUCUCUCAGGUGCUCGUCAUGCUUCUCUCUGGAUCUCGAAUACACUAAAAUAUCAUCAAUAAACACGAUCACCGAUCGAUCUAACAUCAGUCUGCACACUCGGUUCAUGGGAUCCAUGAAUGUUGUCGGUGCAUUGGUGAGCCCAAAAGGCAUCACCAUGAACUCAUAAUGCCUAUAACGAGUCCAAAACACUGUCUUCGAGAUAUCCUCAUCACGCACCCUCAUCUGAUGAUAUCCCAACCUCAAGUCUAUCUUGGAGAACCAAGAUGCACCCUGCAACUGAUCGAACAAAUCGUCGAUCCUUGGUAGUGGUUAACGGUUCUUGACCGUUAACUUGUUCAAUUCCCGGUAGUCAAUACAAAUCCGGUGUGAUCCAUCCUUUUUCUUGACAAAAACGAUCAGCGCUUCCCAUGGUGAGCUACUCGGUCGGAUGAAUCCCUUUCGUAGCAGCUCCUGAAGCUGCGAGGAUAGCUCCUGCAUCUCUGGUGGCACAAGGCGAUAGGGUGCCUUGGCAAUAGGCGCCGUUCCCGAAACCAAAUUAAUAUGGAACUCCACCUGCCUUUCCGGAGGCAUACCUUGCAACUCCUCAGGGAAAACAUUUGGAAACUCACGUACUAUCGGGACCUCAUUGAUAGAGCUCGGCCUCUCUGCGGGAACUCUUGUAUCCAUCACAUAGGCUACAAACCCCUAACCGCCCAGCUAUAGACUCUGUCUCGCUCCGGCAGCCGAACAAAAUGCUGACCCAGAUCGGGUACCCUCACCAUACACCGUAAGUACUCCCCUACUAGGGUCUCAUAUGGUCGCCAACUGUCGCUCGCAGUCUAUAAAAGCUCUAAAUCGGCUCAAGCAGUCCAUGCCUACGAUGACACAGACAUCCCCCAUCGCAAUCGGUACCAGAUCUAUCGGGAACUCAACACCAAAAAUCUCGAGUACACAUCCUCGAAUCACAUCAGCAGCGUAAACCGCUUGCUCGUCAGCUAUGGAAACUCGUAAAGGGCGACUCAUCGCCUUUCGUCAGAUACUAAUGUGCUGGCUAAAUGCUAAUGACACAAAAGAUCGACUCGCACCCGAGUCAAAUAACACCAAAGCAGGUACAUAACUCACAAGGAAAGUACCUAUGCAUAUCAUAAUAUAAGCACAAUAUCUCAAACUUAGAAUAAAUAAAUAAAAGAAUACAUACCAGCCAUGACAUCGGGCGCUGUGCGGACCUCCUGCGCUCUCAACUAAAAGGCUCUCCCGCGAGCCUUCGGUGCCUCAGCCUUCAUUGGCCGGGCCUCGGUAGCUCUAGCUGAAGCAGGAGUAGAUCGCUGUGCUGAUCCUUAAAGUAGAUGUGGGCACUCGGCCUUCCGAUAGGAAGUCUCGUUGUAGUGAAAGCAAACUGCAAACCCCUUGGGGCAAUCCCUCGUGAAAUGCCCCUCCUUGCCAUACUUGUAGCACGCUCCUACUCUGCACACUCCCUCAUGGCUCUUUCCGCACUUCCUACAGGUGUGGCCCUUCUGUCCCCCAUAUCUCGAAUCAGCUGGCUUUGCCCGCUUGGCUGCCGGCUGUGACGAAUCGGUCGCCUGUCCCCCCCUCUGAGACUCGACCUCCUCCCUAGCAUGAGUCUUUAGCUCAAUCUCUUUGUUCCGGGCAUUUGGCUGGAGCUCGACAUAUGUCCUAUAUGACGAGUUCUCCACGAACUCACAAAUGUCUCUCCUCAGAAUGCUCAGAUAUCAGCUCAUACGUGCCUGCUCGGUAAACACGUGCUCAGGGCAAAACAACCCCUCUCGUGAAACAUCUGCGUAAUCACAGUCACAGACUACGUCCCCUGCUUGAGGGACAAGAACUCCUGGGCCAACCAUUCCCUCUCCACUGGGGGGAACAUACUCAUCUCGGAACAUGGCAGGGAACCUCUCCCAGGUCACCGAUGUAAUCUCUGCAGAAGUGAAAUCAACUGUCACAAACUUCAACUAGUCCUUCGCUACCAAGCGAAGCUGGUUCAGCGCGAACUGUACCCUCAGAUGCCCCGGUCAAGAACAGGUGCAGAAGCAUCCCUCAAUAUCAGAGAUCCACCUCAUCGCAUCUAUCAUAUCCUGAGUCCCAUCAAACUUUGGUGGCUUCGUGUUGUUGAACUCUCGGUACGGCAAUGAGUCACCCACUUGCGACCUCACGGCGGCGACAGCCGCAAUGGUCAGAGCAGCAUACCGCUCAUCAAAUGUCUAAAUCAACUUGGUCUUGAUAGACCCAAACAUCUCCGGUAUCUCAGCUCGGAUGGCGGCAGCCACCUCCUCGUGAAUCAUCCUAUGGAUCUCCUCAUCACUAGUACCACUGGUCCCACUGCCUCUUGGGUUGUGGCAUGUCCCCACCAUGAUGUCUCUGAAAUACAACAUAAAACAAUCAAAGACUCGACCGAGCUUUCUCACACUCGAUCAACCGUUCCGACUUGUUCCUUAGCAUCCUAAGGAUUCCUUCUUGGGAUGUUUACCGAUCCGGUGCUUUCAGUAGUACGGGCCCAAUACUACCUUCCACACCAUAUCAGUAUCCACACCAAGUCCUCCUCCUAGGAUCCCAAUUCGGAAGUACUCUGUACCCCCUGAAUUCAGCCUAGUCUCACGCAGACUUCUCACAAGCUACUAUUUGCUACCUACAUGCACUCAGGGCACUCACAACAACAUAAACUCCUAGGCUAAGGCAUUAUAUAUCAGGCCACCCUAGUCCUAAAAUAUGAUUUACCUAGCCUAUUCUAGCAUGCAUAGCACAUCAAAUAAUAUCUCAUAACACGUAAUGUGAGGGUAUUUUGGGAAAUCACCAUUCGGGCGCUGGCUGAUCGUACACACUGCUCCUUCUUGCUCUACUCAAAAUCUUUUACUCUUUAUAGAAAAAAAUGUUUUUUUUUAUGAAAGAUUUUCUCAAAUCUUCAGUUUGAGUUCAGAUACGCCCAAAGGUGCAUCUGAAUCCCUCAAACCAAGGCUUUGAUACCAACUUGUAACAAAGUAAAUUUUCAAAAAAAAAAUUCAUUUUUCAAAUAAAACAUGUCUCAUACAAAUCAUCUCAAAACUCGAGUAUAGCAAAUGUCAUCAUGAUAAAACAUAACCCAGAAUCCCAAACACUAUCCUCUACCAGUGUGUAUAAAUCUUGUCGGCGCCUUCCCGCGAUCCUCGCUGGUACCUGAAACACAUGUCACAUAACACAGUAAGCAUAAAUGCUUAGUGAGUUUCCAACAAUACCACAUACAAACAUAAGCCACUCGAGGCUAUAACUCGGUAAGACCCUUUGGUCAAUGUGUCUCAGCGGAACCCUCUAGUCACGUAGCUCGUUGGACCCUCCGGUCUGGUCUGCUUGAGGACCCUCUGGCCUCGUAAGUCGUUAGACCCUACGGUCCGGUCUAUCACAUAGCAUACAUAAAUCACAAAGUACAUAAUCUCAAACAAGCACAUAACACGUAAGACCCUCCGGUCUGCACAUAGAUACCACUCUAAGUAAUGUAUAGUGAGAAGACUCACCUCGUUAGAUGUCUAGAAAACUCUCGUGUUUGAAUCCCCGAUCUAGCCUCCUCUUAUCAAAAUGAUAAUAUCUCAACUCAAUACUCACAUACGUUCUCAUCUUUAAAGAAUGGGUAGAAGACCAUUCUACCCCUCCAUGGCCUCUCAUAAAUCCGUUUAACCAAAACCCUAAGGUUAACGAUAGUCAACUCCAACCAUUGGUCCAACUCUGACCAGAGUCGUCGAGUGCACUUGGGUGACUCGGUGAGUCUAUGCGUGUCCUUUGAAUGCUCCUUAGGCAUCACUCGACUCGUCGAGUUAACCUUACACUCGACGGGUUACCAAUGAAUCUUGAUGCAACUCGAUCUGCCACGUCGAGUCCUCUUAUGGACUCGAUGAGUUUCACUAACUUAUAGAUCUGGCCUUCUAGCACCCAAAAGUUCCGUAAAAGUGAAACCUUUAUGCCCAUGCACCACACAUUUAGCUCUAUUUAUUAAAAUAACCUUCAUAAUGGUGUCAUAGGCUUAAUCCUCUUAUGUAACGACAUAAAGUUUGACUCAUCGGACUCUCUGGAUCUCUCAAGGUGUAGAUCUGAAGUCUAAGCCUCAAGGGGACCUCAUAUACUCAAUAUCUUACACUAAAAGAGGGUAAAGAAACCCUAAUUUCAUGAGGUCUUAUAAUCAUUAGAAAUAAUUACAGAUUCGAACCUUAAACAGCACCCUAGAAUGGAAUAGAAUUAGAUCUGAGCUCCUCUAGUUGAUUUUGCUUGAACAACCUUCUGUUGGAUUAGUGUCUAAGUCCAUAACUAUAUUUGGUAUGUACUUGACACGACUCGGGAUGGUGCAUUUGGGUUGCAUGGCAUCUGCAUUUGGAUUUACUAAAAUGAGAGAAAUAACACUUAAGGUUUGGUAAUAUAUUAUAAGUUCUAAUAUAUUAAUAAGAUUAUUUCAUUAGUAUUGAUCAAUAAUUAAUUUGGAAUUAAUUAAGUGAUCAAAAGGAGACUAAUUAAAUAUAUGGGUUGAUUAUGUAAAUCAUCCAUACUUGUAUAGUGGGCUAAUGCUCCAUGGAUUAUCAAGUUGGGCUAAAACCCAUAGGAUGCUCCAUGGUGUUUUUGUACCCAUGGAUCAUGGAAAUGAAAGGCCAUGACAAUUUGUGUCAUCCUCAUUUUCAGGGCUAGAAAAGACCGAUUUUGUUUAUGCUUUAUAAAAAUCAGAGCACCUUUUUUAAUAAAAAUGUUGGUGAAUUUGUUCCCAGUAAAACAUGAUAAAUACAUUAUCAAAGCAUUUUCAAAGAAAACUAUUUUUAUUCAUUUUAAAACAUUCGAGAUGUCAUCGUCAAUACAGAAACAUAAGCACAAACAUAAGUUACAUUCAUUAUCAAUAGUGAUUUAUAUCUCCUUAAUCUCUCAGUGUAAUCUGACUUCAUAUCAACACAUGUGAUAUAAAUAAACUGAGUGGGUUAGGUUGUGAAAUCUGGUGAAUACAUAGGGUUUUCAACCCAUAAUAAAUAAGUUUAUUACCUUUAUCAAACCAAACAAACCCGAUUACCCAUUCCCAUUAUCCUCACUUUACGUCCCUAAAACAUCUAACACAAGGGACCUAGUCUAAGAACUUUCAUCAGGGUGACAACACAUACUUUAGGGGUUCCUCAGCAUUUCAUGUCAAAUAAGGCAACCAUGUGGGGGAUGGAGUACUGCUGGUGAGCACAUAGUUCAAAUUAACACCUAUAGGUCGCGAGUCUGCUAGGGUUCCAUUGGAUUGUCUAGAAUAGUCUGUGGUCGUCACCUAUACACCGUUAGAUGACUAGAUCAUCAAUAACAUCUAUAUCGAGGCCUCUCAUUAUUUUAUUUGGUCACACAACAACUAUUACAUCUACCCAUGUUUUACCCAACACAUUUUGUAGAUAUAAAAUACAUAUAUACAGAUUAAAUCAUUUAAAACGUGUAUAAAAAUAUUUCACCCAGCAUAGACAGCAAGUAUUCAGAAAAUAUGCACACAUAGCACGUAAUUUAUAUUAAAUACUUCAUAUCUAUGUGUAAGAUGAAAUAAACCAUGUACUCACUUGAAAAAGUGGUGAUUCCAAACUCAGACAGCGUUUCGCUUCUUAAAAAUAAUUUCCUUUGACGAAACCUAGUAUUAUUACCACUAGAGUUUAGGUUAUUAUUCGCCGAGACUAAUUAAUUGUCUAGCUAUUAUUACUAUUAUAUAAGCGUUAAACAAUACUUAUAUAACCCAUAAUAAUACCCCAAGUACUUAUUAUAAGUUCCUAACAAUGUUCCUAUAAUUAAAUAAAAGUUAUAUUGAAAAUAGCGUAGACGUAGUUCAGUUACAACGAGUUUUAUAGAAAACUAGGCUUUGUUUGGAGCAGCGUUCCUGAGCAGCGUAGGCGUAGUUCACUUACAGCGGGUUUCAUCUGUCUUUUUACCGUUGGGUCCCUAUUUAUUAGAUCUUCAAUUCUCAUAUAGGUCGUGUAGGCCAAAAACUGCUCGAUCUAAAAUUCAAGUUUCGGGCUGUGCACUGCUAAGUCAAGAUUAGAAAAUUCAUAACUUCCUCAUACAAAGUUAGAUUUGGGCGUUCUUUUUUCGUAUGUUCUCCGUUUAACAUAUACUACAACUUUUGUUUAGAUUUAUAAGGCUAAAAAGUCCCCCAUCAUAAAUUCACUAUUACUUCUCCCGGUGUCGUGCUGGUUUUGCCAUAAAACUUCGACGGACCAUAACUUCUUUGUUAUAACUUAGAUUUUGGCAUUCUUUAUAUGUACGGAACCCUUGAGAUGUAUUAUACAACUUGGUUAGGAUUAUUUAUUAUAAAUAAUCUUUUGUCGAAAAGUCGUUUUCGACCCCUAUUAUCUUGAAAUUGACUAGCCCGGAUCUACGGGCAUUACAAUUAUAUCCCCCUUAGGAUGAUUACGUCCAGGAAUCAUCAACAAAAUAGGGCUCACAUGAUGACUCCAUAUGUUAUCUCUUCAUCCUAAGUAGUAACCAUACCUUUGAUGUUUCUUCGAACGAGUAUCUAACUCUAACACUUCUUGAUUGCAGGCGGCGCUCGAUGUUGCACUUGCUCCCUAUCUCACGUUAGACUCCAAAUUAUGACCUUGAAGUCACAAUCUCGAUCCUUACUGGAGACUGCUUAUUCUUCUUAACAAACUUAAGAUAAUUCAUUUUAUUACUACAAUAGACCGAUGUGUCGUAUUCUAAUGACUUAUCAUCGUAUGUUCCCAUGCUUAUACUCAGGUCUCUUAGAGUCUUCUAGAUAGACUAUACAUUUCUUCAUGUUCUAAUCACAUCUUAAAAGGUAGCACUUCUAGCUACAAGCAACUAUCAUGAUACCUCUACCGAUCGCUUUGAUUAUCUUUUAUUUUAAUCUUCUGGCUUAAGUAAGAUGCUACAUCAAACUUGGUUCUCUGAACCACAUAACAUACUUAUUGUAGUCGAACUCAAUUCGAUAUGACCACUAGGGUCAGAAUAACAAUCGUCCUCUUAGUCAUUACGGAAACGAUGGUAACGACAUAUUUGAAUAAAACAGUAUCAAUUACAAGUUUCUUGCUAACCUUGUGACUUUCCCUGAUCCAAGCGUGAGUCCUGUGCUUCCGGUAGUAUAGGCGUUUACUACCUUUCACACCUACUCAUACUCGUCCCAAGUAUUAUCUCGCAGUUCACCCAAGUCACCAUACAAGAAAAUCACAUAACAACUUGACACAUUAGAUAACAAAAUGAUGGUUUUAUAUUAUUACUUGAAACAAUUACAUAGUUAUUCAAGUUCAACCUAUACUAUGCCUCUAAUAGGCUAAACCACGUGGUACUAUUUACAUGACUGUUUCAUAGAUCCUCAAUCCUGAUCCCUUUCAUUUCCAUCUUCUUCGUCAAGGAUCAUAUGGAACGCUCUUGCCUUCGGUUUCGGUGGAAUGUUUGGUCUUGCCGCCUCUUUCUUCUUCGGGCAAUCCUUAGCAAAGUUCCCUUCUUCACGACAUUCAUAACAUACCCUUUUGCUGGCGGAGCACUCAUUGGCAUAAAGUCCGGUCUUCCCAUACUCGUAGCAAUUCACUUCCUCGCUACAUUUCCCGAAGUGCUUCUUCUUGCACUUCACGCACCAUUUCACUUUGUUUCCUCCUCCGCUAAACUCCUUUGAACAAGACUUAAUCUUCUUAUUGGGCCUCAUAGACCCCUCAAACUUACUCUUUUCGCCAACCUCAAUCUUGUUGGCAACUCUUCACUUAAUCAUAUCCUCCACAGACUUGGCAGCCCAGAUAGCUGCCUCCAGAGUAGGUGUCCGACGCACUGGCACUGCGUACUCCUUUGGAAGUCCCUUUGCAUACUUGUCGAUUUUCAUCAGCUCAUCCGGAACAAGAUGCAAGGCUAAUUCCAUCUUUUAUGUGAAGAUGUUGGUGUAUUCAUCAAUUGACAUGCUUCCUUUCUUCAAGGUCAGGAACUGGUUCUCUAGCUCGAGCAGGUUUUGGGUUGAGCAGUACUUGUGUUUGAACUGCACCAAAAACUCUGCCCAUGUCAGUUGUAGGGGCUUAUUGGGGCUCAAAGUCUUCCCUAAGGUAUUUCAUCAGCGCACAACACCUCCUCAGAAUUGACCUACUGCAAAGGUCGUUUGUAACUUGCCUCUGCAACCACACAUCAUGAAAGCUAACUCCAUCUCCAAGAUCCAAUCCGUGACUCUGAUCGGAUCAUAAUUUCCAGUUAAAGUCGAUGGCUUGCAAGUCAGAAAAUCCUUGUACUUGCAUCCAUUCCUCUCGACUCUAUCAUACUGGUUGUUUUCUUGAACUAUUGGUGGGUUGGCUUGACCAACAGUCACACUAUAAUUCCCUCCUUCUAACUGCCCAUCGUUCAAUUUGGGCUGUUCAACUGGCAUUGUAGGUUCGUCCCUAUUUUCAUGCAACAUCUGGCUCAUCUCUUCCUGUUGUUCAGCCGACAUAGCCCGUAUCAUGGCUUGUACUCCGACCAUUGUAAUUGGCUCAAGAGCAUCCGCUACAACAGGUAUUUGUUCAAUCACUGGUGGUUGAUUCAUGUUCCCAUUUGCAUUUGCGGCUCCACUACGAGUUCUUGCCAUUUCAAUCUAUAUACCAAAUUAGACGUUCGGUGUGCAAUGACGAGAAUUAAGAUAGGAAAGAUUUUAUUUACGAUCGACGUGUAAUUCUCCCUAUUUCUCUGAAAAGUUAUAUGCCAGUUCUAAGACCGUAAUUAAACGUUUAGAAAUCUGAACACAUAAAGUUUCCAGAUCCGGUAGGCAACAGACCAUAGAUCUGAUCAUACAAUGCAUAUCUCUAUGGUUUGUUGCCAUUUCGAUCUAUAUACCAAAUCAGACAUUCGGUGUGCAAUGACAUGAAUUAAGAUUGGAAAGAUUUUAUUUAGGAUCGACGUGUAAUUCACCCUAUUUCUCUGAAAAGUUAUAUGCCAGUUCUAAUACCGUAAUUAAACAUUUAUAAAUUUGAACACAUAAAGUUUCCAGAUUCGGUAGCCAACAGAUCAUAGAUCUGAUCAUACAAUGCAUAUCAUAAAUCAUUUAGCACAUAAAAGCAUGUUAGGCAUUUUCCCUAAAUUAGCUAGUGCUUGUGUCUAUUUAGGUGCUUUACCUAAAUUUUAUUAGACACACUCCUCAAAAUCCUUGCUUAGCAUUCUAAGUUUAAGUCUAGAAAUAAAUCCAUAUUCCUAGUUCGCUUAAACUAAUGCUCUAAUACCAAUUAUGACAUCCACAUUUUCACGGCCAGAAAAGACCGAUUUUGUUUACUCUUUAUAAAAAUCAAAGUACCUUUUUUAAUAAAAAUAUUGCGGAAUUUCUUCCCAGUAAAACAUGAUAAAUACGUUAUCAAAGCAUUUCCGAAGAAAAGUAUUUUUAUUCAUUUUAAAACAUUUGGGAUGUCAUCUUCAAUACAGAAACAUAAGCACAAACAGAACUUACAUUCAUUAUCACUAGUGAUUUAUAUCUCCUUAAUCUCUCAGUGUAAUGUGACUUCAUAUCAACACCUGUGGUAUAAAUACACUGAGUUGUUCAGGUUGGGAAACCUGGUGAUUACAUAGGGUUUUCAACCCACAAUAAAUAAAUUUAUUAACUUUAUACAACCAAACAAACCCGAUUACCUGUUCCCGUUAUCCGCACUUUACGUCCCUAAACAUCCAACACAAGGGAUCUAGUCUAAGGAAUUCCAUCGGGGUUACAACACAUGCUUCGGGGGUUCCUCAGCAAUUCAUGUCAAAUAAGUCAACCAUGUGUGGGAUGGAGUACUGUUGGUGAGCACACAGUUCAAAUAAACACCUACAGGUUGCGAGCCUGCUAGCAUUCCACUGGACUAUCUAGAAUAGUCCGUGGUCAUCAUCUAUACUCCGCUAGAUGACUGGAUCAUCAAUAACAUCUAUAUCGAUGCCUCUCAUUAUUUUAUUUGGUCACACAGCAACUAUUACAUCUACCCAUGUUUUAACCAACACAUUUUGUAGAUAUAAAAUACAUAUACAGUUUAAAUCAUUUAAAACAUGUAUAAAAAUAUUUCACCCAGCAUAGACAGCAACUAUUUAGACAAUAUGCACACAUAGAAUGCAAUUUAUAUUAAAUACUUCAUAUCUAUGUGUAAGAUGAAAUGGACCAUGCACUCACUUGAAAAUGUGGUGAUUAAACUCAGACAACACUUCGCUUCUUAAAAAUAAUUUCCUUCGACGAAACCUAGUAUUAUUACCACUAAAGUUUAGUAUAUUAUUCGCCGAGACUAAUUAAUAGUCUAGCUAUUAUUACUAUUAUAUAAGAAUUAAACAAUACUUAUAUAACCCAUAAUAAGAGACCAAUUACUUAUUAUAAGUUCCUAAUAACGUUGCUAUAAUUAAAUAAAAGUUAUAUUAAAAAUAGCAUAGGCGUAGUUCACCUACAAUGGGUUUUCUAGAAAACCAGGCUUUGCUUGGAGCAGCGUUCCUGAGCCGAAAAGCUCUUCUUCUCGGAGCCUUCGAGCACUCCGGGGCUUCCGCCUUGUGUUAGGGAGGUUCCCUAGGCUUUUCGGGGGGUUUCGGGGCUAGAGAGAGGUUCUAGAGAGAGAGAGAGAGAGAGAGUAAAGAGAAGAAAGAAUGGGAAAUGUGUGAAGAAAAUGAGGGUGGGAGAGAUUCUAUUUAUAGGGUGAAAUAUGGCUGAACUUGAUGCCACAUGUCACCAUCUAGUGGCAAGACUUGGGGAGAAAGCAAUGGCCAAGAUUAUGCCACGUCACCCAUUUUCGCACAUUACACUUCCAACUUCUAAAAUCCGUAACUUUCACAUACAAGCUCCGUUUUUGACGGUCUUUAAAUCCACGCGUAGGUAAAAAUAAGAUCUAGAACUUUCGUUUUGACUCCGUCGGCUAAUUCUCGACCAAUUUAAAAUUUAACAGUACGAGGUGAUUAUACUAUUAAAUGUCCGUGUAAAUUCAUAACUUCUACAUACAGACUUUGUUUUCAUCUGUCUUUUUGCCGUUGAGUUCCUAUUAAUGAGAUCUUCAAUUGUCAUCUAAGUCACGUAGGCCAAAAACUGCUCGAUCUAAAAUUCGAGUUUCGGGUUGUGCAAUGCUGAGCCAAAACUUAGAAAAUUCAUAACUUCCUCAUACAAACUCAGAUUUAGGCGUUCUUUUUUUGUAUGUUCUCGGUUUAAUGUAUACUAAAACUUUUGUUUAUAAUUCUAUGGCUAAAAAGACCUCCAUCAUAAAUUCACUAUUUAUGUCUUUCAGUGUCGUGCUGGUUUUGUCGUAAAACUUCGACAGACCAUAACUUCUUCGUUAUAACUCAGAUUGCAACAUUCUUUAUAUGUUUGGAACCCUUGACAUGUAUUCUACAACUUGGUUAAGAUUAUUUAUUCUAAAUAAUCUUUUGUCAAAAAGUCGUUUUCGACCCCUAUUAUCUCUAAAUUGACUAGCUCGUAUCUACGGACGUUACACAAUUAGGGUUUACAUGGUGUAACCCUAAUUGUUACACACUAUAUAAGCAUCUUAUUCUUUUCAAAAUCGGCCACCAUGAGAGACUAUGAAGGAAUGGUGAGGCUAGCCGAUUUCAUGAAGUGUAUCAUUUCUCUCUAAGUUAUUCCAUGUGUAUUUGACGUUGUGUGAACCAUUUGAGGUGUCACACUUGGGGCACUAGGCUCUCGAGCUUCAUGGAGUUAAGCUGCAUCUACAAGGUAUGUAUUUCUAUCUAGUUUAUUAUUGAAGUAUCAAAAGAUUAUAUGCUAGUUAGGGUAAUACCUUGGAAUAUUCAUAUUUACAUGUAUAAUAGAGAAAAGAUAGAUCCAAGGUAUUUAGGGUUGCAUCUACACUUAGGAGUAUUAGAAUGCUCAAAACCCAACAAUGGUAAUAGAGCCUAGUAUUGUGUUCUUGUUAUACUUGCAAAAUCUGCUUAAAAUCGAAGUUUUUUGUCGUCUGCGCAACUGACCCGGCGAGUCCAUCAGGUGACUCGAUGAGUCCAUGCCUUAAAAGUCCCCAGAUAGCAUAUCUUCGACUGUUUUGGCUGGAAAUGGAAUAGGAACUUUACCCUAAGUUGUUUUUCAACUUAUAAACCUGUUUUUGAUGCGAUAAUGUUCAUGCUAAUCCAAUUUCAAAGAUAAUUUUUAAAAGAUUCAUGUUUUGUAUUAGUUUAAGGUUUAGGCUAAUUACAUGAAAAAGUUUGAUUUGAAUUAUCUUGCUCUUAUGAGUUGCUUAGACUAAUAGGAAAGUUAUGUGAAAUUGUUGUUCUCAAUCCAAAUUAAUCUAAGAGUUGGUUCUAAAAUGUUUGUUUUGUAACUUGUCCUCAAUUUAUAUGAAAAGUCACAUUUAAGAUCCAUAAAACUCAUAAAUAUUUCCAUAAGUUAUGAAUAAGGAAGAGUAACAUUCUUUUAAUAGUUUAAAGUCUUCCAUAACUUGUCCUCAAGUUAUGGAACUUGAAGAGUUUUUGGAUUAAACCUACUUUAAACACAUAAGUUAUGGAAUUGAAUAGUUUUGAUUAGUUUCAAAACUUGCCCUCAAGUUUUGGAAUUUGAAAAGUUUUCCCUAAUGAAUACUUUAAUUCCAAGUCAAGCCCUUAGAAUUUUAAAAGUUAAAAUUCAACCCUUAUACUUUAUAAUAUUAUAAGUAAAUAAUAUUUAUAUAUGUAUAAGAGCAAGUCGUCUUACCAUUAGUAGGCCUCAUUCACAAAGCCGGUCUAUAAGGGGGGUAUAAGGUUACUGCCUAUAAAAUGGCAGUUUAAUGGGUAUCCACUCUCACCCACCGCUUCCUUGACUUGUGGAGGGUCGUUAGCCGAACGGGUAGGACAAAGACUAUAAUUCUCCCUUCAUUAAAAAGUAUUAAUGAUAAAUAUAAUAUAACUAAAAUGUAUUUAUAAUUCCCAAUCUUAUUUGCUUUAGGAAAAUGUGAAUAAGGUGCUAAUCCAUGAAAUUACACUUUGCAGUUUGCUUAAGUUGGUUAGUGGAGUGUGUGUGGUUAACCGGCACAAUAGAUUGUUUUAACAAGGUAAGCAGAGGGUAACUUAAUAUUUAUCAUAGUAUCGGUGGAGCGCGUGUGGUUAACCGGCACAUCGAUUCAGGUGUAAAUAUUAAGGGUACCAAGUAAGUUGCAUGGUUACUUCACACCUUGUUUUGUGAUCCUCGGCAUCCCAGUCACAAAACCUGAAGGGCACACUCGAGAUUGAAACAUUCCAUUGAAUAAUUCAAUGAAUCUCAAAAGAUCUAGGAGUUUCAAAUCCAAGUAAAAUCUAAUUAAAUUGUUUCAUUUUCAUGAUGGAAAUUGGUGAAUCGUCGUUCGCCUACCUUCAAAUAUUUUAUAGCUUGGAUUACGACAUCCCUCUUCCAAGUUAUAAAAGUAUUGUGUUGGGUCCUAGCCUUAAUAUUUCAUAUUGGGUGUUAUAUUAAGGACUUUAGAUCAACUAUCUUGAAUAUCUCCCAAAAGAUGUCUAGUUCAGACAUCUAUGAUCUUCCCAAAUCUCUUGGAACUUCACUUCCUCCACCUUCUCCAAUUAUCCUCCCUAACCCACAAGUUCAAGGUCACUCAAGCCCUAUUGGCAAGCAAGGUCUAUGUGUGCUCACAUCUUGGAGAUGAAGUCACAUAUUGACAGAUUUCUCUUCCCAAGGAAAUAGAUUGACCAUAGUCAAAUGGUAAAGAGAAAGGAAAGUCUGAGAUAGUCCAGUGCACCAUUCCCAAAGAGUCCAUAUGUUUUGCCAAAGGAAUGGGCAUUGAUUGCGAAGCUGCUUAUUUACCUGAAAGAUCAUAAGGAUGAUCAAGUCAAGAAGUUUGACUCUACUUCAGGUAAAGACUACUAUCUAACUCUGUUAAGUUUCUAUUCUGAGUUUCUUGUUACAUGAUGUGACUGGGUCACAUGUUGAUGUUUUAAAAAUCAAAGAAAAGUGAAAAAACUUAAAGGAAGUAUAUGUUGAUUCUGAUCGCGACAAUGGAUUUCGAUCGCACGGUUCGGUGAUCAGAAUUUUGAGCUGUUACUUAGGAGUUAUGAUAUAUUGCUUCGGAAUAGAUAACAACAAAGUUUUCCAUAUACUUUUGCUAUGUAUGGAUAAGUUUUUCCGCAAAGUUUUAAAAUAAAAGGAAAUUUUUUAUUUUUUGUAUCCUAAGUAUCCUUACAAUGGCGUUUGUGGAUAAUUGUUGCUUAUAUGAUUCCAUUGAUAGCAAUAUUGGAAAAUGGAUUUGUUCCUUUUAUUUGUGGUAGUGUCUAAAUUUACCAAACAAGGAAAGAUUCUCAUCACCCAAGCUUUCAGUUGGAUAGAAACUUGGAAAUCAUGCAAGUUGUAUAGUAUAAUGAAUGAGAAUUUUCAUCUUUGGAAAAUUAAGACUAAUUCCUUAUUCACAUGUAUAUGUGAGUCAAGUGAAGGACUAAGGGAUCAAGUACACAUUGUUGUGCACUGAUCAAGUACACCACAAAAAAACAACAAGACUAUUCAUUAUGGUUUACUAAAGUUUAGUAAAUAUGGUUAUACUUAUAAGUUUAAGUAUAAUUCUAAACAUUGGAAAACUUUCAAUGUAUGGUAGAACGAAUGAGAAGAAUCGAAUUAGGCAGAAAGAUAAAAGUUUUUCAAAUUUGAAAAGAUGGGAGAGUACUUUAGUAUCAUGUUUUGUGAUCAUCUUAAUGAUUAAAGAACCAUAUCACAAUUGGUCUUCUUGGGACAUCUUAGUGCAUUGUUAUGGCUAAGAAGAUAAGUCAUGAAUUGUUGGUAUGAUGAAAUCAAGAAGAUGAGUCAUACUUCGUUCCAAAACAUGUCUUAGAGUCAUACUCCAAGACUGUAAGUUGAGUGACAUAUCUUAAACAAAGGUUUAUAACACUAGUCAAAUGUAAGAGUAAAGUGUACCCCACUCCUGUACAUUUGAAAUUGGAAAGUUGUGAUGUUCUGGAUAUAACAGAGACCAACUUAAGGCCAAUUGUGUGAAGUGUUUGUCUUGAUAAAGAAUCUGCACUAUCUCUUGAAUAUUUGGCAAGAUAGUUUUAUAUGUCAAGAGGACAGUGGGAGUCUUAAAGAUCCUGAAAAGUAUUUCAAGAUCUAAUCAAGAAUAAAAAACCUGUACUUGAACAUUAGCACACGACGUGAGGUUUAUAACCUAUCAUGUUGACAUAUUUUUAUUUUUGUGCCCUUUCCAGUUAAAGUUGGCUUUGCAUAUUAGUUGUUAGACUUCUCAAUUGGUUGCAUAACAACUUAGAAGCAAUGGCAGGCCCUCGAGCUGCCAGGAGGCAAGAAAUUCAGAUUGAGUUUAGUCCGUAUGAGUUUGGAUUUGCCAUUAUCCUUCUCUUGUGAUUAUGGUUUUGACAAAUUCACAUGGAUAGGAACACAUACACCGUAAAAUCUAAUUAUCAUAAGGUUUCACUCCGAUUCAUGAAAAUGAUGGUGACGAAACACUUUCACUAAGUAGAUGUUAAGUAGAUAACAGUUGUGAUAUUUGCAUUCUCAAAGUAGUUAGUGGAGCAUGUGUGGUUAACGGGCACACUAACAUGGACUUGUGAGAAAUGGAAAAGGUCUAAACAAUUAAGAUUAUGAUUACGACAUCCCUUUUCAUAGUUCUGAAAUUGUUUAGAAACACAUGUGUGCUAUCUAAGGAAAGGUGUGUGAUAUUGAUAAAGUUUUAUCAAAGCAUCUCGUAUCAGAAGUCUGAACUUUGUUAAGAAAGUCAAUAAAGUAUUGAAUUCUAGAAGUCCAACUACUUUCUGAGUACAUGUCAAAGCUUGUGGGAGCACAAGUCUUAUGCUAAUAAUCGUCAUGUUAGUGGGAGCAUGAUAAUUAUGAAAAAGGUUGCAAGUUAGCAAUGUUAAUUAUAGAGAACAAAAGUUUCAAUUCGUGAAGUCGCAGGGGUUGAAAAUUUGUUCUCAUAUAAUUAAGGGAGAGGAAAUUAUACUUNUAUAUAUAUAUAUAUAUAUAUAUAUAUGAAUUUUAUGUUGGUUUGGCUCAACAUGAGGAAAUUCUAUAUAUGGGUCUAUUAUUUACGUUCUAAAAUUCGAUUAUGAUUACGCCAUCCUUUUUCAUAAUCAGAUUAUGACAACUUUGCAAAUAGAAAUAGAAAUUUUAUAGCAAAAGGCUGGUCUAGUAUCAUGUCUUUAUGAAUCGUGUCCUAUAUGCUUCGGAUGUAGGAUCGAUUGCAUGUGCUAUAAUAUUCAUCCUUUCAAAACUUUUCCAAAUGUCAGGGGCAUUAAGAAGGGAAAAGGUCUAGAAUUGGAUAUGACUAAAAAGAUUAAGAAAUUUUCGAGGACAACUAAGGUUUACCAAAGAUUGGUUGCUCAAGGACAGUUGGAAGUAUAAUGUUAAUUUUGGAAAGACCAUAUUGAUAUAUUCUGAAAAGAGGCAACUCUUGUUCAAUAGUAAUAGUCAAAAUGGGAAUAUGGAAAUGUUCCCAUAGGUGGAAGUUAUUCAUUAAAUCGGUGUAAGAUUAGGAAACUUAAUGCGAGAAGAAUGUUCAAAGGCAAUAAACUUUGAGUAUGAGACUUCGGUUCUACGGAGUUGGUCUCCAUUGGAAUAAUCUAUAAUGUAUGUUGACAAGUCUUUGUGACUUUGUGUAUAAUCAUUACAAGAGGACCAAUGCAUAUAAGUUUAGAAUCUAACAAAUUUAGGUAAAUGGCAUGAAUUUGAAUUCUUGCAUUUGCGGUAAGGAAUUGGGAUUGUGAAAUGAGAAUUAUUGGAAUUAUGUUCAAUCGAUCUAUUUCACAAAGUAAAGAUCAUAGACAAACUUAGUAUGCAUACUUGGUGUAUGGCAUAACUAAUGUUUAGACAAACAUAGUGUGCAUACUUGGAUACUUGGUGUAUUGCAUGACUAGUGUUUAGAAAACAUAGUGUACAUGCUUGUAGCAUGGGACAUCUAUUGUUUGAAUUCAAAUAUAAAGUUGAUAGUUUGAAACAAUAUGCAACGAAUGAUGGGUAAUCAAUAUGGUGAUAAAUAAAAGAUGUUUUAUUUAUAAUUAUAAGUUCUGAGACCAUAUUGGAUUUGAUUAUUCUUGUGUUUAACUUUGCAUGUUUUGACUUCCAGAAUAACUAGGUCGUUCUUCCUGAUUGACUAAGUAAUUCAAACAUAGAGAUAUGAUAUGGUACUAUGAGUUGGUUAUACAUUGAUUGCACGAAACUGCAUUUUUAACUCGAUGUUAUAAAACGUGACUUUGUAUAUGAUUCAAAAAGUAGUAGAACAAGCCAUAUGAGUCGAUGUUUAUUCAUUCCUUUUACCUUUGGGACAAGUCAGGACUAAUGUGAUUUGUUCAAUUAGUCGGUCAUCAUAAAUCGGAAAUCAGGAAACAACAAAUGGAUAGAAAGAAUGAUUUAAAAUCCAUGUCUCAGUCUAUAUGAUAUCUAAAAUGGAGGAAUAUAUGAUCCCUUAUCUAAUGGACAAGUCAUUGAUAAAGGUCAGAGUUCAUCGACAAGGUUAGAGUUCGACAACGGCUUUUGAGAGCUACGAUUGCCAGUUAGGUUUUGAAGUCAUACUCAAAUAAUAGUUUUAGACUUAUCUAAGUGGGAGACUGUUGGAUUAGUGUCUAAGUGCAUAACUAUAUUUAGUAUGUACUUGACCCGAUUCGACAUGGUCCAUUUGGGUUGCAUGGCAUCAUGCAUUGGAUAGACUAAAAUGAGAGAAAUAACACUUAAGGUUUGGUAAUAUACUAUAAGUUCUAAUAUAUUAAUAAGAUUAUUUAAUUAGUAUUGAUCAAGAAUUAAUUUGGAAUUAAUUAAGCGAUCAAAAGGAGACUAAUUAAAUAUAUGGGUUGAUUAUGUAAAUCAUCCAUACUUGUAUAGUGGGCUAAUGCUCCAUGGAUUAUCUAGUUGGGCUAAACCCCAUAGGAUGCUCCAUGGUGUUUUUGUACCCAUGGAUCAUGGAAAUGAAAGGCCAUGACAAUUAGGGUUUACAUGGUGUAACCCUAACUGUGACACACUAUAUAAGCAUCUUAUUCUUGUGAAAAUCAGCCACCAUGAGAGACUAUGAAGGAAUGGUGAUGGCUAGCCGAUUUCAUGAAGUGUAUCAUUUCUCUCUAAGUUAUUCCAUGUGUAUUUGAUGUUGAGCUUCACGGAGUUAAGCUACAUCAACAAGGUAUGUAUUUCUAUCUAGUUUAUUAUUCAAGUAUCAAAAGAUGGUAUGCUAGUUAGGGUAAUACCUUGGAAUAUUCAUAUUUGCAUGUAUAAUAGAGAAAAGAUAGAUCCAAGGUAUUUAGGGUUGCUUGUACACUUAGGAGUGUUAGAAUGCUCAAAACCCAUAGCUUCCUCUUUCAUUCUAAACUCUCUGGAUCGAUAAGGGUCUCUCAAAGGGAAGGGUGGUUGCAAAUGAAGGCCAUAAGGGCUUUUAAAUAGGUCUCAUGUCCAAUGAUUUAGGGUUUCUGUCCACAACGCGGACUCGUCGAGUCCCUUCAUUAAUCCGAGUCAUCAGUCGCGAUCUUACUCGACAAGUUUAGGCGUCAAAUCAUCGAGUCCCCCGAUCUUAACUCAAAAUAAAUAGUUAAAUUAUGAUACCUGGAAAUCCGGAUGUUACAGAGCCGUAGUACUCACUAGUCAGUGAGAGAAUGUUGUGAUGCUACGGGGAGCCGUAGUAUUCACUAGUCAAUGAGAGGAUGUUGUGAUGCUACGGGGAGCCGUAGUACUCACUAGUCAGUGAGAGGAUGUUGUGAUGCUACGGGGAGCCCUAGUACUUACUAGUCAGUGAGAGGCUGUUGUGAUGCUACAAGGAGCUGUAGUACUCACUAGUCAGCAGGAGAUUGUAGGGAUGCUGCGGGGAGCCGUAAUACUCACUAGACAACGAGAGAAUGUUGUGAGGUGUACUCUCUGGUCAGAGCAAGACGUAGAUGAGCGUUAGGCUUGGGUAGCCCUAUUAUCUGAGUUUUUGGGAGCCUUGUGGUCGAACCAGAGGAGAGACUAGGGUCUCUAUAUUUGUUGGGAAUCGUUAUACUCUAAUUUGAGUUGUGGUUGUCACGACCCAAAAGAAUUGGAGAAGCGGUAUACGCACGGGUUGCGGGUCAUGAGUCUUGAUUUGAGCGCUUCUUUGGGUCAAGUGGUUCCUGU
This 53511-nucleotide long non-coding RNA is filed under the name Lactuca sativa (garden lettuce). RNAcentral's name for it is "long non-coding RNA (LSAT_LNC005351)". The record is from RNAcentral. Lineage: Eukaryota; Viridiplantae; Streptophyta; Magnoliopsida; Asterales; Asteraceae.